UGGUUGAAAUAUUGGGGUUUAGAUUUGUUGGUUCGCUCACAUAGGAGGUUAAGUGUGGGUGCCACUCGCGGCUCGUUUUGGGUCGUGACAACAUGACUCUAUGAGAAUAUGUCUUUGAUUAUGAUAAUGCUUUAAAUUGUAUAUGUUAUAUAGUAUGUGCAUUGAAAUUUUUUAUAUGACUUGGCAUGUUUUCUAAAGAUAUGACAUUUCAUUAAGUGUAAUGUGCAUCUACCCAUAGUUAGUACAUCUGUCGUAUUAACACAACAACUUUAUAUUGCUACAAUUGUAGGUUCCAUCCAUUGAAGUUUAAGGAGGUCUAUUAUAAGAAGCUUUGAACUCUUUAUCCAUGUCUUCGUAGGUACUCAUGUUUGGGGAUGCUAUCUUUCGUAUUCUAGCUUGCGCAGAUUUGUAGUAGUUUUAAGAAUACACCAUUCCAUUAUGUUCUUUGGAUUAUUUUGUAUCAAGGCCUAUAUUCAAUAUUAACUAUCAUUGGCUAAGUCCAGAAUUGUACUCUUUAGAUGGUUUAAUAUGUGAGACAAAUUUCUAGUUAUCGUAUGUCCGUAUGUAUACUAUGUAUGAAUUCUAUGUAUACUUCAAUAGUAUCUUAAAAAUUUUAAUUAUCCAAUAAAUUUAACUUUGUGAUUGUGAAAAAAUCUAAGACGACACAUUUUUUUGACUUCUGAGAGGCUAAUGAUGACGGUCCUAUCCUAGUUCUAGGAUCUGGGUGUGAAAAUUAACUUCUAUUUGAUGACGUUAUGAUUGUUGUAUGUUUCUCUAUGGUUCAUUGAAGUCCUUCUUGUGAUUAAAGUGUUCUAAGUGUCAAUUGAGGACGAAUGUUCCAAAGUAGGGUAUAUUGUAAGACCCCCAAAAGGAGUUAGGGUGUCAAGAGCAUAACUUGUUUCUAUAAUAUUUUAACAUGUUAAUACAGUGCAUUAAAGUAUGCUUGCGGUGUUUGAAUUUAUUUGGAAGUCAAACGUCAAGGGACGACCAAGAUGUCUGGCAAUUAGUCACAAAGGGGCCUUAUGUGUUUUUAUGUGAUUAUGUGCAUGUCAUUAGAUUAUGAGUUCGUUAAAUGAUUAUAAAUGAUGUUUAAAGGCAGUGUAUUGAGUUUCAUUAUGUUUGGAGUUAAACGUUUAAGAACGUCUAAGGUAUUCAAAAGUUAGCCCUUAGGAUGUUCAUGUGUGUCUUGAGUGUGCCAUGCAUGUAUUUAUACGUUUUACAUGUUCAUAUUGGGUGAAACAUUCAAGGAAGUAUACCGAAUGCUAAGGUAUAUAUUUAUGUUGGAAACGUAUGGGUACGACUUACCAACUGUCCCACAAAAAGGCCUACAAAAAAGACCAAAAGGAUGUUGAGACAAUGCCUUGGUAGUGUCAAUCGAUGAGCCAAACAACGCCUCAUCAGUGGACGAACGCCCCGUGGAUGGGUAGGCGUUGAUGGGAACUUAUCCUGGAGAAGGCUUAGUCACAUGAUAUCUUCAGAUCCAAACGACGGAAGGCACAUGAUUUUGCGUCGAUGGACCAAUGCCCGUCGUUGGGUCCCCCGAUGCAAACCUUCAGUUACUACCUAGCGAUUGUUUCAUUAAAGGGGUGAAUGGUAAAUUCACUCCACGUCCUAAACUAACCUUACUAGGUUUGUUUGGUUAUUUUUUGGUGUAUUUAAGUUAUAAUAAACAUGAUCAACCCAUUCCUAGUCCAAUUCACUGAAAUAAGACUUUCCCUUUAAAAUAUUCUCUCUAAAACCUCCAUUGAAGGUGAAGAUCGAGAAAAACUAGGAUCUUUUAUUUUCAUGGAUUAUUCAUAGUGUUUUAGAUUUUUUCUUCUAGAUAAAUCUAUGGAGGUCCUUUAUAUCUAGUUAUCCUUCCAUCUAGAGAGUUAAUCUCAAAGUUUUCAAACAGAUUUAGUGAUCAAGCUUUCAAUCAUUCAAUUAGCCAUGGGUUCUUUCUAAAACAGUUUUCAAAGGCUUAAUCAUGAUUAAUUGAUUUUUAUAUAUUGGUUUUAAUGUUAAAAAAUCCAAUUGCAUUGUGAACCCAUGUUCCUUCCAAAUGUCAACUUAGCCCUUGCGUGGGCACUGCGAUCAUGGCUUAUUAUUGGUGGAUUUUUCUUUCUAUUAAAUUAAUUGCUUAUAUAUACUGUUUGCUAUGUAUAUUCAUUAUUGAAUUGUUGAUUAAUGAUCCAAUCAGAUCAAUGUAUGAAGAUUUGAUCAUCACUACCCUAUGCCUUUAUGUGAUCACAAAAACAUUGCCAUUAUAAGGCGUGAAUGAGGACUUCAAUUAUGUUAAAUUGAUUGAUAACAACUACCUAUCAUGUAUAUAGAAUAUGAAUUAUAUUGUAAUGGAUACAAUGUGGAUCAAGGCUGGAAGAUUAGAUUGUAUUGAUGUAUGUUGUCGUAUCUUCUAUAAAUUGCUAAUCUAGUUCUAUGUAUCUCGACUCCAGUGUAAUUGGUCAUGACUUGGUAUAGGGUUAAUGUAUUUUUAACUACUUCAUUCGAUGUGUAUUAUUGAAUAAUUGCGAGUAUGACUAAUUGAUAAUAAAAGUGAGGAAGAAUUGGUAAGAGAUUAACUUCCCCUCACAUUCUAUGAAUUGAUGAUGUAGUGGACUUAAUAUCAUAUCAAUCUUUUUAUGAUUAAUUAAUGAUCAUUACCUGAUCAUUAUAUCUUAUAUACUGCCUUAUAUUGAACUUAUGAUUAAAUAUAAAUGAUGCUCAAUGUAAUUGAAUUUUGUAAAUGAUCUAUGUCCUUCUACAUUCUAUUAUGUUUGUUAUAUAUUCUUCUAGUUGUAGCAUGGUCUUCUACUGUCUUAUGCAUGGUUUCUUUUAUGAUUAAAGAAUAUUUAUAUACUUCACUAUAUUUGAACUGUUAUUGAAAGAGUAGUAAUUUUCAAUGAUGACCAAAGUCUAAAGGAUUGGUAAGUAUUGCUCUACUUGUGUACUUAUAUACUUCACUAUAGUAUUAUUGAUGAAACCUUGUAUGGAUUUGUGUGGUAUGUUCCACUUAUUGUUGAGGUUUUUACUUUAUUGCCAAUAUAUAUAGGUGAUGUGAUCAUUGACUUGAAGGCAAUUAUACUAUGAAUAUGUGAUUGUGUUGGAUCACCCUAUGUGAAGACUAUGCCUAGUUCCCAAUUCUAACUAUGAUAUAGGUUCUUUUGCUAAUGUCAUGAGCAUGCAGAUGGUUAUAGUAAGUUUACGUUUACUUGCUGCCUAUGAUGAGGUACUGUAAUGCUAUAUGUGAAGUAAAGCUAAAAUAGGUGCAUGAAGACUAGAUCUUACUGUAAGAAUGAUGUAAGUCUUGAAUAAAUGAGUCCUAUGCUACACUAACCAUUCUAUAAUAGUGCGUGAUGUAUCAAUCACUAGGAUGAAUUGAUAUGUGUAUUAGUAUGGGUGAGGGUAUGGGACCUUAUUUGUGAAUUACACGUGUAGGUUGAUAGGCAGUUUCUAGGUCGGUCAUCCAAGUACAUUUAUAAGAUUGUAUGAACAUGUGUUAUGAAUAUGACUUAUAUGCUAUGAUAUUAAGUAUAUUAUAUGAUGAAGUAUGAAUGUCCAUAGUGUCUUACAGUGUUAACAUAAAAAGAUCGGAGAAGGGCCUAAAAUACCCUUAAAGUAUUAAAAAUGGUACAAAAUUACCCUUCAUCCACCUAUUGGCUCCAAAAUGCCCUUCCCACCCACCUAUUGGUUUCAAAAUACCCUUGUCAUCCACCUUUUGGUUCAAAAUUGAUCACUUAUUUAACAGUUUUAUAUUUAAAUUAUUUAAAUAUUUUUUAAAAUACGUGGCGCUCAACGAUUUGUUAUAAUUUAACGUAUUAGUGUAAUUUAUAAAUCAAUCCACAACCCACCCAUUACUAAUUAAAUCCAUCUAAAUUAAUGAACCCGUCACAUUUUUAAUGCAAGAUACUGCCAAUUGAGUGUUCAUAAAAAAUAUAAAAGUAAAUUAUCAUACAUUCAAGUGGCUACAUAAAUAUCACUCAUAAACAUUAAAGUUUGACUAUGUUCAUCUUAAUUAUUCUUACGUCUCAAUUAUGUGAUGUUGCUUCAUAGGUAACUUUUUUUCAAAAUAAUAUAUUAAAGGUUUUAAAAUAAAUCAUAAAUAUUUGUAAAAUUAUAUUUUAAAAAAGUGCAUGAAUUAAUUCGGGAUGUAUUAUUUCUUUGCCUUUAAUCAUAAAUUUCUAAUUCAAUUUUGAAAGAAAGUGUCCUACUAAAUAAGAGGCUCAACCUAAAUUUAAUUGGAGCUUUGAUUCGGAUUCGAAUAAUUUUGAAUGUAAUUUUCAGUAAUCUAUAAUUCCAUCGUGUUUUAGUAGUUUAUGACGAUUUUGAUAUUAUAAUUAAAUUAUUAAUUGAGUGAGGUUUAGUUAGUAAUGAGUGGGUAGUCGAUUGAUUAAUAAAUUAUAUUAAUAAAUUAAAUUUAUAAUUAAUAUUUGAACGCCCAGUAUUUAAAAAAAUAUUUAAUGAGUUUAAUUUUAAAACAAUUGAAAAAUUGUCAAUUUUGAACCCAAAGGUGGAUGACAAGGGUAUUUUGGAGCCAAUAGGUGGAUGAAAAGGGCAUUUUGGAGCCAAUAGGUGGAUAAACGGUAAUUUUGUACCAUUUUCAAUACAUUAAAGGUAUUUUAGGCCCUUGUCCGUAAAAAUAUUGCCCAUACUAGUACACAUAUAUACUUAUUCAUUCCUAUAUGAACAAGUGUGAAAUUCAUGUGUUAUGUGAAAGGUUUUCUCACAUACAAGUACACACACACAUGUAUGAAAAUCUAGUUAAUAUAGGGGCCUUAAAAGGUGUGCCCAUGUGUACCCUAAAAAAUAGAUAGGUGCUUGGAUAUGCUAUAAGAAAAUAAUAAAUAACUAUCUUAAGCCUAGGUUCGAUGAAGUAAUGUAAUAAUGGCUUUUCCAUAUAGGGACUUUAGCUUUGCACCGAGGAAAUUUGACAAUGAGAGAUAAUGGUUUCCAUUGAAGGAAUAUUCACCACUGAUUUGUCAUAGAGUGUUGGCUUCCCCUGGAGGAAGAUUCACCAUUGGGUCCCCAUAAGCUUUGACUUCCAUAGGAGGAAUAUUCAGCUAUGGUUCCACAUGAGGUGGUAGCUUCCCUUUGAGGAAGGUUCACCCAUUUUUCUCAUGAGAUGAGGAUCCAAUGCAAAUGAGCAUGUAGAGGAUCACGUAUAUCUAUAUGGUAAAUCCAAUCCACAUAUCGUACGUUGUUCAAUUUUUUUAGCCCUGAUGGCCAGUUAAUUAGAAAAAAAUUGAUUAUUUAAUACCAUAUUCUAUUCCUCAGUUCGAACGACUAUCGAUCCUGGACCGAUGAGAAAGGGGUUGAACUCAUACUUUCCUUAACCUAAUCUACUGGUCUGGAACAGGCCUAAAGUGCACAACUUAUCCUUUUCUUUUCUGUUUCAUGUCUAUCGGACCUGAACCUAUUGAAAGAUAGAAAAGAAGUGUCGUAGCCUAUCCUUCUAUUCUUCAUUAUAUGGUGAGGACCAUUCCGUUGUUAUUCUCGGAGCUGAGGUAUAUGAAGAAUGGCUUUUUUGUCCCUUUUGUCCAGUGGUUAGGACAUCGUCUUUUCAUGUCGAAGACACGAGUUUGAUUCCUGUAAGGGAUAUGUACUCAUUCCCGACCGCUUCCAGUUAGUAUUCAUUGCUGAGUGAUAACUCGCUAUCUUGCUUGAAAAGAUGAUUUGGAAGCUUUCUCUCUCCUAGUAAGCAAGAUCUAUUUGAGUUUCCAAUGAAAUGGAAUAUGCGGAACUCUUCGUCUAAGUGUUUAAUCCGACGGGUCAAUUCUCAAUGCACACAUGUAUACCCUCACACACCAACUCGCACGCUUCAACCCUCGGGAGAACCCCAUGAUCCUUCCGUGUGGAAGGGAAGGUGCGGAGCGAAGGAGAACACGAAUACUAAAAAGCGGGCAGCGACCCGGCCGGUAUACACCCCACAGAUAAAAUUGGGCUGUGAGGUGAGUAACUAUAUCCAACAAUCAUAUGCCAACAUCAUUCCUAAGAUCAACAAUAAGUUCUAAUUAUUUAGAUAAAUAAAAAAAGUUCCACAAAUUAUGCUUUCCACAUAGGAUAUAGCAAGUGAUUUCACUAGUAUAAUAACAUUUGUUAAGGUUCUACCUUGGCCUACUUUUGGUAUACGUCUCUACAACACUAAAUUUCAUGUUUAGCACCCAUGGUCUAAGUGUCAGUUAAGGCUAUGGUUUCCCUAAAGUAUAAUUGAAAAUGUAAGUAAACUAAGGACUAACUAAGAUAAACUAAGGGUAGUUUCUUAGUGUAGAUGGGGGUAUCAGAUUUCACCUAUUCAUUGCACAAGUGGCUCUUGAGGUAAACCCUAAAGUGUUCUAAUGCAUGUAUUUAAGUAUAUCUUCAUUAUGCAUGACUUUGUAGUAAUUGUCUACUUGUUGUGAUGGAGUGCAUGGUAUGAGUCCUGACAGAUAUAUGUGAUGUCGUCUUGUCCUUAUAUGCACUAGGUUGGUCUAUAUUACUAUAUGAUGAAGGUCUUAUAAGGAAUUGAUGUGAAGUGAAGUAAUAUAUGUACAAAAUGAUUUAGCUUACUUUAAUAUGCUUAUAGUAAUGGCUUGAACUUAUCUUUGAGGUAUUACACUUGUAUGAUUAUAUGUAUUGACUUAUGUAAUUUGUAGGCAUGGUUUUCGUUGUGUCCUUAAGGUGAUGCAUUGAACCAAAUAUCACUAGUGCAUUGCUUGGGAGGUUAAGAAGUUAAAGGUUCACUGUUAAAGAAGAAUAUGCUUACUGUAAAUGGAAAUUUGGAAACUGUAAUGUGAAUGAGCUCAUUGUAAUGUGACCUCAAAUAUGACUUAAAUUCUAUAUGGGAUUUUAGGUGAUGUUUUUCUUUUUAAUACGUCUAUAUGAAGUAUGUGAAUGAUAUAAAUGCUAUUGUAUAAUGUUUUUUUGAAGAUUUAUUUUGAGAAGGCAUGAAGUAUGAUUUCAAAUGUCCCCUUUAAAUGCAUAAUUUUUUCAUGCUUUCCAUACUCAGUGCAUUUUUGUACUAACUCCAUUCUUCACUACUUUUCAAAGGGUAGAUUAUGGAUGCUUAAAGGUUGUCUCUAUGAUUGAGGAGCUUGAUAUGUGAAUUCCCAAUCUCAAUGAAAGGGAUCCUUAAGUUCAAGGAUUCCUAAGUCAGUUCUUUACUGUAAAGUGUAUAAGUUUACUUAUCUAUUAUGUUUUAAGGGCAAUGUCCUUUUGGUACUCUUAUGAUUUUGUGUCUAGGAUUCUAAACAGACUUAAGUUCUAAAUAUGUACUUAUGAUAUCUUAUAUAUAUAUGAGGUAAAGCUUCUAGCAUAUGAUGUGCUAUGAAAACUUUUAAAUUUUUCACAAAAUUUACUAUGGCAAUGCCAUGAAAAAUAACUAUAGUUUUUUAUAAGACCUACGACAGGUCAAGUACGUCAUGUUACUUCUAGGGGGUACUCCCCGGAUGUGACAAUAUGAUCCAUUAAUGUAAAUUACUCUAUGAGAACAAAGGUUAGAAAUGAGCGAGUAUGGCAUGGGAAGUAGCUCUAGUUAAGAACGAGACUACAGUACAAAUAUAACCCUUCGUAUUCCUUACCAUGUACCUACAUGGGAUGUGUCUAAGUUCAACCGUUGGCAAGUUGAACACCCUCCAUCGGAGUAGGUUAUAACUCCGGAUUCCAAUCUUUGCUACCAUGGUCUAUGUCGUUUAUUUCCUAUUCUCAUCAUAUGGGAUACAUAAUAGCAUUAGAUAAGUUCUAUGAUGUUUAAGUGGUAGUAUGGGACGCUAUCUAGACAUUGCACAAUAGGCUUUGAAGAUUUUAUUGAGAGUCCCUAGGUCUUCUCAAUGACCAUAACUUGAAUGUUCUUUUUUAUUUUUUUAGGUUUCUUAAAUGAACUAAAUGAUUCUAUGACAUUAUUUAGCAUGCAUGUUAAAUGAUAAGAACUUAUAUAGUGUAGAAAAGGGUUUUCAAGUAAAGGUAUGAAGGGGACAUGGGAAUGGUCACUUUGUAUAUUACCUAGAUAAGUCAUAAGAAUGACUCUAGUUACGGAAGUGGUUGAUUAAGUGGUCAUGAUCAAAUCUUAGGUUGACCUAUGUAUUACUAGGUAAUCUUGGAGAGGUCAAACAUGGACAUUCUAUUAUUUAUUUACUUUAGUAAGUCUUUUCUUAACCUUUGGAUGGGAGAAUGUCAUAUUAUAUGUAUGUUGUUGGAUUAAGUGAGUUUGAUUUUAUACAUUUUAAUCGAUAUGAUCUCUUAUGUGUGUGGAAGAGAUUAUAUGGGCGGUCGCUUCACAACUCACUCAAGUGAAACAUAGGAUCACCUUUGGUAGGAGGAUCUCAUGUUCAUAUGUUUGGUACAUUGUAAGUGUGUAUCUUAUGAUAGGUGGUCUUAAGGAUCAUUUAAGUGUGCCUAGAGAGGGUGUAUGGAUUGCCUCUUUGUCUUUCUAAAGUUAGUAUUAGGAUAACUUUUAAUGAGAGGAUUUCAUCCUAACAAGUAUUUCUUGUAAUGUUGAUAAACUUCUCUGUAACAGUUAAUUAUUCACUAUGAUGUGACAUGGGUUUAAUAUAAGGUUCUCUAAAAAUGUGAAGAAUUGCUCAAGUGUUAUCUUAUGUGUUUCUAAAAAGGUAUGUCUUGAUAUAAUGCUUAUAUUAUGAUAUUUAAAUCAAAAGAUGCAUAUUUCCAAAAAAUAUCCAUUUCCAUGAUAUUUACGCAUUAUGCCAGUACAUGUGUUUGUACUAAUUCCAUGCCUUUGUUUAUCUCUAAAGUAAUUCAUUGGUUAACGUUCUUUUGGGAGCUAAGGUUAUAUUAAAAGUAUUUCAAGCAAGUUGAAGUAUGUUUUCAUUUUGCUCAAAAGUAUAAAUGUCUUUUUUUUCAUUAAUUAAAGUAUUGUAAUAGACUAGGUAUUUCUAUAUUCGUAUUGUAUGGCCUGUGUCUCCAUUACCCUUGUGUCUAAUAUUAGAUCAAAAAAACAUAGCAUUUCCUAUGGAUUUUAUAUGAAAGAUAUUUUUAAUGAAUUAUUGAAUAUUGUGAAAUUUUUUAAUUUUGUACUACUUUUCAUAUGUAAAUAUGCGAUGAACCAUACUAAAGGGCUUGUAGAAGACCACUGAGGGUUAAAGUACGUCUGGCGCACUCCGAGAGUUCAUAUUUUCUAGGUUGUGCUGUUGGGAUGUUGCAUCGGAAUCUUGUGAGAAAGGUUUCAAAAGUUUAAAGAUAAAAUUACCGCUUUAUUGAUUGACCUUUCCAGUGGGUUAUAAACGUUUUGUAGUGUAUUGUGAUGCUUCCAGAGUGGGCUUGGGAUGUAUCCUCAUAAAACAUAGCAAGGUCGUUGCUUAUGCUACUAGUCAAAUCAAUGUUCAUGAGAAGAAUUAUCAGACUUCUUACCUUGAGUGAGUGGUUGUAGUUUUUUCCUCGUAUUUAUGGUGUAAUUAUUUUUAUCGUGUGUAUGACCAUAGAAGUCUUCAAUAUGUGUUCACACAAAAGGAUUUGGAUCAGUGAGAGUGAAGAUGGUCUGAACCUUUGAAAGAUUACGACAUGAGUUUCCUAUACCACCUUGGCAAGGCCAAUGUGGUUGCAGAUGCUUUGAGUCAUAUCACUAUGGGUAGUGUGUCUCAUGUGAAAGAAGAGAAGAAAGAACUUGUGAAAGAUUUUCUUAGGUUGGCUCAUUUAGGUGUGCGGUUGGAACUCAGACUCAUCAUUAGUGGUUGAGGUGAAGUAUAAGCAACAUCUUGAUAAUCUAUUGAUUGAUUUGAAGGAAUUGGUACUUGGUAAGCUCAAUGAGUCAUUCUUCCAUUGGGGGGGGGGGAUGGUGUCUCCCAAGGGUGGAUUGUGUUCUUAAGUGCAAGGGAGAUUAUGUGUACUAAAUGUUCAGGAUUUGAUAAAUCAAAAUGUCGAAGAAGCCCAUAGUUUUUGUUAUUCUAUACAUCCAAGUGCUACCAAACUUGUCAUGAACUUAGGGAGGUCUAUUAGUAGGAUGGUUUGAAGAGGAACAUAGCAGAUUUUAUUCCUAAGUGUCCAAAUAGCUAAAAUGUCAAAGUCGAGCAUCUAAAUUUGGGUGGUUUAACCGAAAUCAUGCAGUUCCUACUUGGAAGUGGAAAUCCAUCAAUAUGGACUUUGUUGUUGGGUCGCCUCGAAAACACAGAGGCAAAACUAUUGAAUAUGAGUAAUCAUUGAUAAGUUGACCAAAUCUUCCAACUUUAUCCCCAUGAUGACUACUUACACUGCCCAAGAUUAUGCAAGAAUCUACAUUAACGAAAUUGUUGGUCUUCCUGGGAUUUUUUUGUCCAUCCUUUAGGAUAAGGGUGACAAUUCACUUCUCAUUAUUGAAAAGCCUUUCAAAAUGGUUUAGGUACUCAAGUGACUUACCAUCUCUUUUCAUCCUCAGACAGACUGUGAAGCGGAAUUUAUCAUUCAAACCUCUGAAGAUAUGUUAAGAGCCUGUGUGAUUUAUAUUAAAGGAAAUUAGGAUAAUCACCUACCCUUUAUUGAGUUCAUCUUCAACAAUAAUUACCAUUCAAGUAUCUCCAUGGCACCUUUUGAAGCUUUUUAUGGUAGAUGAUGUAGGUCUACAGUUGGAUGGUUUGUUGUUGGUGAACCCUCACUCCUUGGUCCUGAUAUUACUCAUUUGUUGCACGUAUGCAUGUUCCUUCUUGGGAUUUUGCUGUUUUGUAGUUAUAUUGAGAAGAAUGAUAGCAUGGUAACUCUUUUAUGUAUUUCGAGAUCAUGUUAAUGUUGAGAAGGUAGUUCCUCAUUAUGUCAUAUAAAUAUAUGUUGUGCCUCAUGAAUUUAGUUUCUAUGUGUAAUGUUAUGAUUAUAUGGUGUUGUUUGUUGGGCUGCUAGUAUUAAGUCUAUCCUUACCCUCCAAAAGAUAUUAGUGUCAUUCAGGGACAAAUGUUUCCUAAGGGGGGAUAAUGGACCACUCCGGAAGUUCCAUGUCUUAGAGUAGAGUUUAUGCUAUGUAAAAAUGAUUAAAAUGAACUUCCAGAACCAUAUUCAUAUAAGGAACUCAAUUAGAAAAUAUUCAAGCCAAAAUGACAAAGAAAGAUCUUAUCGUUUCGGAAACAAGCUAAUUUUAACUAGUUGACACCCCUAUGUUUGGUGAAGGUUUGAAAAUGUCAAAUGAAGUCCAAAACAUGUAAAAAUACUUUAAAUAGGUAGUAUGUACUGAAAAGAGUCGAAGCAUCCAGUAAGGACCGCCCGAAGGGUCCUGUAGGAGGACCCGAACAUGGGCGAGCAGGCUGCCAAAGCAGCCUGUGCGUAGCAAGGAAUUUGAGGGCUGCAGCGUGAAGCGAAGUAAUCACGUCGAGGACCAAAGGUUCCCUUGGGACGCGAAUUCUCCGUGAGGUUCUCUUUCUCAACUCGGAUUUUAAAAAAUAAAUGUGAAAUUGACCCCACGAUGCGCUGCAACUUUUCGAAUUCGUCCGCAUCAUUUUUAUGUAAACUUAAAUUUACAAAGAGACCAAUUUAAGUGAAAUGACCUUAGAGUAUUUUAGGGGACGACUUUAUAAAGAUUUUAGGUCAGUUUUAGAACAUUUUCACACACUGCAAAAUAUACUAAACAAAUCCAUCUCAUCUCUCUCAAUAACACUCUCUUUUCAAACUUCAUUGAAGAACAAGAGAAGCUUGAGGAAGAAUACGAAAACUUAAAGAUUUUCAUUUUAAAUGUAUAUAUGAUGUUUUCUAUCUUAGUGAACAUUAAAUGAUCUAUGUUGUUUUAUGUGACGAUGACUACAUAUGAUGUAAGUCGUAUGAAGUAAAGCAUUUCUUAUUGUCACCUAUAUUGUUUACUUUAUUAUGUGGGGUUAUGGGUCUUCACAUGAUGAUAGCACUUGUAGAAUUGAGAUGAGAUCAUUGCUAUGGGUUUUGUAUGUUAAGUUUAUAUUCACUAUUGAAAAAAGUAAUGUAAAUACAUUUUAUGAUGGUAUGUAUUUGGUUAUGAUCAUGCAUUAUGUUGUUCUUAUUUUUUUCCUUAUAUGGUGUAUUGUAUGUACAUUAAGGCUUUUAAUUACUUAGAAUGUUUUCUAAAGAAAUGGUCUUUUAUCAUGCAUGUUCUUAAAUAUUUAUGUGCAUGUACCCAUACUUAAUACAUGUGGUGUACUAACCCCUUAAUUUAUUUUAAAACAAAUGUAGGCCAUUGAAUAUUAAGAAGGUCGAUUGAUGAAGCUUAGAACUCUUUCUCCAAUUGUAGGUAGGUCCUCAUGUUCGGGGAUUCUAUCUUUCAUUAUUCUAGCUUAUGAAUACUUUAGUCGUUUUAAGAUUACUUUUUAUUCCGUUUAUGUACUUUGGAUUAUAUUGUAUUAAGGCCUAUAAGGCAUAUCGACAUUUUAUUGGCUAAGUCCAAUUUUUACUCUUUAGAUGGUUUUAUAUGAACCAUAUUUUAGAAUAUCGUAUGUAUGCUAUCAUGUUAAUAUGUGAAAAGCCUUACUAAGAUUUUAUGUUAGAGAUCUAAGUAUACUUCACUUAGUAUGUUUAAAUGUUUUUAUUUUUUUCACAUUUUAACUAAUGAUAUGUUACGACAAAUGCUAAGGGCUUGUCUGAGUCCUUUGAGUGGACGACAACGUCGGUCGCAUCUAGCUGUUUAUCUCCAAAUAUGACACUCUUUGACGUUGAAUUCACCUUCACAUUCACGUUGAUGUUGACAUUUAUGUUCACAUAGACGUUGACAUUUAUGUUAACGUUCAUAUUCAUGUUAACAUUCAAGUAAUACAUUGACGUUCACAUUCACGUUCUCGUUGACGUUCACAUUGACUUUCAUGUUGACGUUUACGUUCACGUCCACAUUUAUGUUGACGUUAAUUUUCAGAUUUACGCGUUGAUGUUCACCUUCACAUUUACAUUGAUAUUAACAUUCAUAAUUACAUUGAUGUUCACGUCACAUUUACGUUGAUGUUGAUGUUCACAUUUACGUUGAUGUUUAUGUUCACAUUGACGUUUAUGUUGAUUUUUAUUUUUUGCUCACAUUAACAUUGACGUUGACAUUGACAUUUAGGUUGACAUUGACGUUGAUAUUUAUGUUGAUGUUUACAUUGACAUUGAUAUUGACGUUGACGUUGACAUUUACAUUUACGCUUAUGAUUACGUUGAUGUUCAAGUUGACAUUUAUAAUGCAAUUAACAUUUACAUUGAUUUAUUUUUUCAAGUUUAUGAUCAUGUUAACGUUAAAGUUUACAUUAACGUUUAUUCUGACGUUCGCGUUGACCUUUACAUUAAAUUCAUGGCGAUGUUGAUGUUCUCAUUGAUGGUGAAUUCACGUUUACAUAUUUAUAUUUACGUUGAAAUUUACAUAGACAUUGACAUUGACAUUGACGUUUAUGUUGAUGUUCACGUUCAAUUUUACGUGUACAUUGAUGUUCAUGUUGAAGUUCACGUUCAUGUUAAUGUUCACAUUGACAUACACAUUUUUGUUCACAUUGACAUUGACAUUCAUGUUCACAUUGACGUUCCAUGUUGAUGAUUAUAUUGAUGUUGAUGUUGACAUACACGUUAACAUUCACAUUAAUGUAGAUGUUGACAUUUACAUAGACAUUAACAUUCACAUUGACGUCCAUGCUGAUGUUUACAUUGAUUUGCAAACUGAUAUUUAGGAUGACAUUGAAAUUUAAGUUCACCUCAACAUUGAUAUUGACGUUCCCAUUGAUGUUGACGUUUAUAUUGACAUUCAUGUUGAUGUUAACAUUGACAUUGACGUUCAUGUUGUUUUUUACAUUAAUUUUCAAGUUGACAUUUAUGUUAUCAUUGACAUUUACGUCUACAUUGACGUUUAUGCUGACAUUCAAGUUGGCGUUCACUUUGACGUUCAAGUUGACAUUCAUGUUGAUGUUCACAUAAACAUUGACGUUUACUUUGACGGUCACGUUGAAUAUCACAUUCAUGUUCAUGUUUCUGUUCACGUUUAUGUUAACAUUGAUAUCCAUGUUCAUGUUGACGUUUACAUUGACGUUUAUGUUGACGUUCACAUGGACGUUAAAAAUGAGUUCAUGUGGAUAUUGACGAUGAAGUUAAAGUUUAAUUCAUGUUUACAUUAACAUUCACAUUCACGUUGACGUUCACAUUUAAAUUCACAUAGAUAUUGACUUCCAUUUUCACAUUGACGUUAAAGUCAACUUUUACAUUCACGUUGUCGUUCAAUUUGAUGUUUACAUUAAUGUUCCUGUCGUUGUAUACGUUAACAUUGACACUAAGGUAGACGUUGACAUUGUCGUUUAGGUGUAUGUUUACGUUCACAUUGACAGUCAUGUUCACAUUCAUGUUUAUGCUAACGUUUACAUUUACGUUGAUGUGUUCUUGACAUUGAUGUUUACAUGCACGUUGACGUUCACAUUGACGUUGAUGUUAAUUUUCACACCGAUGUUAGCGUUGACUUCAAGCUGACAUUUAGGUUAACAUUUACAUUAAUGUUCAUGUUGACAUUCAAGUUUACAUUUACAUUGAUGUUCACAUUGAAGAUGACGUUCAAGUACAUGUUCACAUUUAAAUUUAGAUUGACGUUGACAUUCACAUUAACAUCAAUACUGACAUUAAUAUUGACAUUCACUUAGAUGUACAAAUUAAUGUUCACAUGCACAUUCUUGUUCAUAUUGACAUUCACGUUCAAGUUUCUGUUGAUGUUCAUGUUGAUGUUCACAUUGACGUUCACGUUGACAAUUAAUUUGAUGUUAUCAUUAUAAUGACGUUAACGUUUGUAUUAAUGUCGAUGUUAAUGAUGAUAUUUAUGGUGACGUUCAACUUGACUUUUAUGUUUAUGUACAUGUUCAUGUUCACGUUAAAAUUUAUGUUGACGUUGACGUUGAAGUUUAAAUUUAUGUUGACAUUCACCUUGACGUUAAAGCUCACAUUGACAUUGAGGCUCACGUUGACGUUGACAUUGAUGUUUACGUUAAUAUUGACGUUUAAAUACACAUUGACAUUGACAUUCAUAUUUACGUUGACUUUCAUGUUAACAAAAACGUUGAUGUUCACCUAUAUAUUGAAAUUCACAUUGACGUUGACGUUGAAGUUUACAUUGAGGUUCAUGUUGACGUUUAAAUUGAAGUUGAUGUUCAUGUUCACAUUCAUGUUGAGAUUCACGUUGAUACUUACAUUGAUAUUGACGUUGAUGUUUAUGUUGAUAUUGAUGUUUACAUUUAGAUUUAUGUUUAUGUUUAUGUUGUCAUUUACAUGGAUGUUAACGUUCACAUUGACGUUGAUGUCAUGUUAAUGUUUACAUUUACUUUCACAUUGACAUUGACGGUUAUGUUCACAUAGAUUUUGACGUUGACGUUGAUGUUGACGUUCAUGUUUAUGUUGACGUUGAUAUUGACAUACAUGCUGAUGUUUACAAAGAUUUUCCAGAUGACGUUUAUGUUCAAGUUGACAUUCACAUUGACGUUCUCAUAUGUAACACCCCAUAAUUUCCAUGACUAAUACUAGUGAGUAAUAUGUUGUAUAAUGAUCAUUUUAGGCAUAAAUUUGUGUGAGUAAUUUGUUUGAGAAGUAUUCAGGCCAUAGAAUAAAAGAAAAGUCUUGGUGUCCGAAAACUAGCUAAAUUGAACUAGUCAAUGUCCCUAGGUUUGAUGAAGGUUUCGGAGGCUUGUAUUGAGUCUAAAACGUGUAAAAGACAUUAAAUAGGUGAAAUGUAGUUUAGAGGGUCAAAAAGUACAUGAAUGUUAAGUAAUAAAAAGUUCAAAUUUCAGCUAAAAUUAACCUAGAUGACGUAACGAUGACGUAUGUAUGCUUGUUUGCAACCUCUAAGAGGUCAAAGACGCCUGUCUUGUCUGGGAUCUAAAUUCAGUCGUGACAAAGUUGGUAUCAGAGAACUAGGUUAAAUUCUGAAGAUAAUAAGUUCACAUUAACCACAUUGAGUAGUUUCUAAGUCCUGGUAGUGAUGUGCACCACUAUCCUGAAUUAGAGACUUCUUAAUGCAUAGGAAAAUUUUCGUUCUUAUAAUCUCAUCGUGCCUUUUCCUAUUUUAUGAUUUCUUGAUGUUACGAGCAUUUUGAACAUCAAUACUUGUUGUUUUAAGAGAAUAAAUUCUAGGAGAACCAUUGGUUAGAGGAGAGGAGAAGCAUCUACUGGGGUCAAUCAGGUUCCACCCCAGGCUCCAGUUGAAGGAGUGGCUAUGCCAUUGAACCCUGGGUUGAAUGAUGCGGAGGUGCAAGCAUCUCUAACCCUGUUGGCACAUGCCAUAACUAUGCAAGCCCAGGACAUGACUGACCAGGUCAACUAGCACAAUGUUCAAAGGGAAAACCCACCGGUUCCUAGCAUGGCUGAAUGCUACAAGAAUUCACGAGGAUGAAUCCUCCUAUUUUCACAAGGUCGAAGACCUUAAAAGAUCCCCAUGAGUUUGUAGACAAGGUACAAAUGAUUUUGGUGGCAAUGGGGGCCACAGAUACAGAGAGAGCUAAGUUGGUUUACGAUAAGCUUAAGUACGUUGCACAGACUUUGUGGAAGAUGUUGUAGGAUAGCCAAUCGUUUGGCGGAGUUUCGAUCACUUCGAAUCUUUUUAAGACAGCCUUCCUUGAGAGAUGCUUCCCAUGGAGAUGAGGGAGGUUAAGGUUGAGGAGUUUAGUAACCUUAACAGGGAUCAAUGACAUUAAUGGAGUAUUCCCUAUUGUUUGUUAAACUAUCCAGGUAUGCAAAUUCCCUUGUAUAAAAAUGGAGGGUUGAUAUGAGUAGGUUCCUUAGAGGAAUCCGUAGAUCUGGAAGAGGAUUGUCGAUUUGCGAUUCUUCACAAUAAUAUGGACCUCUCUUGGUUUUAUGGUGCAUGUCCAACAUGUAGAGGACAACAGGAAGAAGAGGGUCAUUCGUGAUGAUAGGAGGCCUAUGUCUCAUAAUCAGGAAGGUCAUUCCAAUGGUGGUGGGGGGGGGCAACAUGAACAACUUUGGCAUCUGUGAGAAGCCCAGAUUUAAAAAGGGGCAAUAGAGUUCAUGGAGCUCUAACAUUCUGAGGAGUACAACACCUAGAAGAGACAGACCCGAGCCCAAAAAGGUAAUGAAUAUUAGAUGCAGUGUCCCAGAAAGAACUGUGCUAACUGUGGUUGUGCUCACAGUGGAGAGUGAAGAUAGGGCACUAAUUCCUUAUUCGGUUGCGGUAAGAGCGGGCACAUGGUUAAGGACUGCCUAAUAAAUAGGGGUCAGGUUGGAGAUAAUCCUCCACCUAGGACUAAUUCACAGGGUGCAGCGGAUGCCGAGCCUCUUAAGAGGAACAAUUUCUACGCCCUGAAAGGUAGGGAGGAGUAGGAGAAGUCCGCUAACAUGGUCAUAGGUAUGCUGCAUGUUUUCUCAACUUACGUUUAUACUUUACUUGAUCCUGGGUCUACUCUUUCCUUUUUAACUCCUUUACUUUCUCUAACUUUUGAUAUAUCGCUUGAAGUUCUGCAUUAUCCUAUAGUUGUUAGUACACCUUUAGGAGAAAAUGUAAGAACUAUUGAUUAUACAAGGAUUUCCUAAUAGUUGUAUGUAAUAAGACUUUGUGUGCAGACUUGGUUGAGUUACCAAUGCAUGAUUUUGAUGUUAUUCUUUGCAUGGACUGGCUUCAUAGUUGUUAUGCUUGUAUGGAUUGUCGUAGUAGGGUUGUGAUAUUUUUUUCCCCAAUGAAUAAGAGCUUGUAUUGGUGGGGUACAUUGAAGACUACUAGAGCUCCACUGAGAAGGUCAAGCCUUCAAUUUUCCAACCAAAUUUCGUGUCUUUAUCAUAUCUAAAGUAUGAUUUAUUUCAAGUUUGGAAUUUUUUCCCCAAGAGGUCCUUCAAAAAGAUGAUUUCUAAAUUCCCCAAAUCAUGGUUUUUCUUCUACACAUGGGUCUUAUUUGAAAAAUAAAAUUAUGAAGCAAUUGUGGUUAACUGUGAUAAAAUAAGAUUGUUUAAGUAUAUACUGAUAGUUAGUUGAUGAUUUAGUAUGUCAUUUCUCUAGGACCAUGUCGUUUCCCUAAUUUCAUGAAAAUCAUGAACUAAUAUGGUGAUUGUGAAGAUUAUGAAUAUGUAGAUGUACUACACUGUUUUAAUUUAUUUAAUUACUUUUUGAAUUUACUUUGCUUAUGCAAUUGGUUAUGUAUUUUUUGUAAUUGAAUUAUGAAGGUUCUUUGAAGGGACAAAGAGGGAUGUUGAUUUGUUCUUCUUGGAUUCAAUUUUGAAUUAUGAGUUACUUAGAUAGUAAUGCUCCUAUGUCUAACCUAUAUUUGUGAUGUUGAUGCUAGAAAUUCCUCAUUCUUAACCAUAAGGCAUUGAAUUAAACAAGAAUUAUGUAUGUAUGUUAUUAUAUGAAUAUGAUAUGACUGAAAGUAGUUUCUCAUGAUUAUAAUAAACUGUUAAGUGAAAGAUUUACUCGUUUGUGGUUUCUAAGUGAAAGAGUAGUUCUCACCUUUGAAUACCUAUCAACUAUUAUGAUAAGAUGUUCACAUAGGUAUCUAUAGGAGACUAAUGUGAUAUUUUAUAAUGAGUUUGACAAUUACUAAAUGUAACAUUUUCUUAGAACCAAAAGGGCAUGUAAAUAAGAUGGAGGUGACACCUUAGUAAGUGAACGUUUCUAACAACAAUCUCUUUGACCUUUAAAUAUGUGCCCACCAAGAAUUCUAGCUUAGUGGAUCCACCUAGAUAGCUAGGUACCAAUUGUUACAACUUAGGCAAGUGUUAACUCUUUAUUUUUUGUGUGGGGGUAAAACAAUGAGUUUCAUGUAGCUCACAUAGUCUCAUGUCGGCUAUAACACUUCUUUCCCUAAUGUAAAAGUAAUAAAAAAAGUAUGAAUGUGAACUAUUAUUAGGGUUGUAUUGAAGGUUACUACAUAAGGUGAGGGAGGGUAUGGGACUUCUCUUACUCAUUGCACAUGUGGGAUCCUAAGGGAUGGUUCUUGUAGUGUUAUGUUAUGAUUAAGAUAAAUAAUAUGGUUAAGUUUAAAUGUUAUGAGUAAGUAUUUACGAAUAAGCAUGUUAUGAAAAUAUGUUUGAAGUAUUAAGUGGGUUGCUUAAUGUGGUACUUAGCCUUGUAUAAGAUUAUAGGGUUCUAUCUUGAACAUUGCACAAGUAUUGCUAGGGUGAUCAACAUGUUGGGUUGCUAUUAUGUUCAAUUUACUUGUUAUAGUUCUUAUAUAUACAUGUUAAGUUAAAUUUAUAGAAAGCGUGGUUUUGAAUAGAUUGUGUCUUUUCUCAUGCAAUAAUGAUUUUUAUGCAUGGGGACCAUAGUUAGUACAUCUGUGUUGUACUAACUAAUAUUUCUCCCUUUUUCAUCACACAUUUUAGGUUCUGACCAUCGAGGAGAUGCGCGGUAACUGAAGAAUAAGACUUGGCUCUAUCCUAUAUAAAUUGGUGAGUCCUCAUGAGUUUGGAGGAUAGAACUAUUUAUCAAGCCUUAUUAGUUCUGUCUAUGUUUAGGAAUAAUUAUUCCAUUUUCAUGUUAAGACUUCAUUGUUGCCUAUAUGGGCAUAUUAUAAAAGACUAAAGGAUAUGUGAAAACUAUCGUGAUUCAUUUAUUAGAUGGUUAAAUGUAAGACAAACUAUUAUUCUAUGUUGUUGUUAAAUAUUAACUGAGAAGCUUUACAAGAGAGGGGCCUAUGUGAACCCCAUAUGCUAUAUACGAGAAGACUAACUAUAUUUCGUUAUAUGGAAAAGUUUUAAUUUUUCCGCACUUUUUACCUAUGAAAUGUGAUGAAGAAUUCUAAGAGGCCUAUCGUAGUCCUCUUCGAGGACAACGAUGGUAGUAAUGACUAGGGUGUACAAUGUAUUGUUACUAACUUGGUAUCAGAGCAUUACAUUACUAAAUCAUAGGAUUGAUGUGUCACGAAACCACAUCUAUGUAGGCUCUUAUUAAUAAUUGUGAAGCGCAUCACACUUAAGAAUAAGAGACUAUAUGAUGCUUAGGAACUUCGACUCUUUUGGUAUUCCUUAGUUGUGCCUAAGAGUCUUACCUCUAUUUAGUUUUUUCUUGUAAUCCUUUUUUUGUGAUUAUAAACAAUUAAUACAAGGAGGAACAAUGGUCAAAGGAGCGGAGACAAGAAUAUGAAUGAGGCGGUUACAAUACAAGUUCCUCAAUUUCCUAUGAAGAAAGGAAUAUUUCUAAUGUUGAUAUAAGGUCGGCCAUACAUAUCUUGACUCAAGUGAUGGAUACCCAAGUUUCCAGUAAUGCUAGAGUUCAAGUGAACACCAAUGCUAGUACUACCUCUUUAAAAAUAGGGAUUUCACAAGGAUGAAUCCCUCUACUUUGUUAGGUUUGAAGGUGGAAGAGGACCCAUAAGGGUUCAUUGAUGAAGUUUUGAAAGUACUAGAUAUUCGCAUUAUAUUAACGUUGAUGUUGAUGUUCACCUUGUUGUUGACCCUGAAUCAAGUUUACAUUUGCGUUCACGUUCAUUUGGAUGUUCACAUUCACAUUUAUGUUGAUGUUCAUAUUGAUGUUUACAUUGACGUUGAUGUUGAUGUUUACAUUGACAUUAACAUUGAUGUUUAGGUUGACCUUCAUGUUCACAAUGAUAUUCACGUUGAGGUUUAUGUUGAUGUUUACGUUAAUGUUGAUGUUGAUGUUGACAUUGACGUUCAUGUUUAAUUCGACAUUCACGUUCACGUUGACAUUCAAGUUGAUGUUAUGUUGACAUUCACGUGGACGUGCAUGUUGGUAUUUACAUUGAUAUUGAUGAUUUGAUUGACAUUUAUGUUCAUUUAGGUGUUCCUUAUAAUAUUUAGGUUGACAUUCAAGAUGACAUUUACCUUGACAUUGAUUUUAAAUUCAUGUUGAUGUUUAAGUUUAUGUUAACAUUGACAUUCAUGCUAAAGUGAACGUUCACAUUAACGUUCACAUUGAUGUUCAUGUUCGUGUUCACAUUGACUUUGACGUUGAAGUUCACGUUCACAUUGACAUUUACGUUCAUGUUGACCUUCACAUAGAUGUUCACAAUAACAUUAACUAUUACGUUGACAUUUACGUUCACAUUAAAAGUCAUGUUAAUGUUAAUAUUUUCGUUCAUGUUUACAUUGAUGUUGACGCUCACAUUCAUUUUGACGUUCAAGUUCACCUUGUCGUUCACAUUGGUGUUUACAUUUACUUUGAUAUGGACAUCACGUUAACGUUCACAUAUAAGUUGAUGUUGAGGUUUACGUCGACAUUGACGUUCUCAUUGAUGUUGAUGUUGACAUUGUCGGUCACUCUAAUUUUUGCAUUGACAUUCAAGCUGAUAUUUACGUUGACGUUGUUGUUCAUGUUGACAUUCACAUUCACAUUUACAUUCAUGUUUAUGUUCAAGUCGACAUUCAUGCUGACGUUUACGUUGAUGUUCACCUUGAUGUUUAGAGUGAAGUUCACGCUGAUGUUGAAGUUCACAUUGACGAUCAAGCUGACAUUGACGUUCACUUUGACCUUCACAUUGACGUUCACGUUGAUGUUCCUGUAACAUCCGGGGAGCAACCCUUAGACGUAACUGGAGUCGUCGUGCAUUUUGAGGAAUGAGACUAGCCUCUUAUCUUACAUCAUUACAUUCAUUGGCUAAAAACUGAAUUUUUCAAAACUUUUUAAUUACUUCUAUAUUGAGGUUUAUAUAUAACCCUACACACACGUACUAUUUAUAUCGUAUAUACAUAGACCCUUCUUAUAUAAAGAUUAUAUAGUCUUCUACUUUUAUUAAACAUAGAUAUAUAAAAUAUAACAUAGUCUUAUUUUGUUGUCUCAUCUCAUAAACCAACAAAACAUGAUUAUAUCAAUUGGUGAUAUCCCAUACAUAAAAGUAAUAAGGUCACAUUUAGGUUAUACAAUGUUAAGUAUUCAAAUUAUAAGGAAAGAACAUAAGAUUCAUAAAAAUAAAACAACUUCAUUAGCUUGACAUUGACAUUCCCCUCGAGAAGUAAGAACCUGCGCAACUUGGAAUAGUGCGAAUACCAUGUAUUCACUAAAAGUCAUCCCAAAAGCAUUUCAACUACCCAAACCUAAAAUGUUUGGGAAAAGGGAGAAAACGGGGUUAGUAAACCACUUGUACUAAGUAGCAGACCAUAUGAACAUACAUCAAAAUAUCAUACAAAGAAAGGGAAAAUUCAUUAAGGUAUGCAAUUUACUUUGAAAAGCCUUAUCCACAUUCAAGAAGACCAUACCAAUAAAUAAAACAUAUUAAUCAAGUCAAAAUCAUGUACAUCACAAGACAGACAAUACUAUGUCUAAUCAAGUCCAGAUGCAUAUCACAUAAUUUAAGACAUUCAAGGCAACUCUAUCAUCAAGUUAAAUAUCAACAUACAUGGAUAAUAGUUCAUUAAAACAUAACAAAAGAAACAAAAUUACCCAUGAACCAGUAUUAAGUUAACUACAGGAAUGAUCAAGCAAAGCUCCAUAACCUUACUCAAUGAAGUAAAUCGGAAAAAAAUCAUGACCAAUAAUCAACUUCACAUAGCAUGAAAAUUAAGACAUAUUAUCAUACUUUGGAAUUAGAGACCGAACACCUACUCAUAAAAGAAACCAAUAAUCAUAGUAUCUCAUUAAUUUCUAAGAUCAUUAUAUACAUAUCAUAUACAAUUAUAAGCAUAUACCUACAUACGAGUAUCCUCUUAAGGUUUCGCUCAAGGAAAUAUAGUGCAAGGCAUAGGUAGAGUCCCAUACCCCUUCCGAAUCUAAGUGAAACCUCUCAAGUCAGCCUAGUUUGUUUGUACUUCAUUACUUCAUUUUAGUUUAUGGAACACUUGCAUUAACUGACAUACACAACAAGAUCUUACUGUGGAAUUCGGUGUUAUAAAACCUUACGCCGAUGGAAGGUGGUAUACCGUCCAAAGUAAACUCAAACAUAAACAUUGAUUUCUAGGUACAUCCACUAGCUAGUCUUCAUAUGGGGGCAACAUAGUUCAAGAACUAGGAGAUAGGUUUGAACUCUCUACAUGAUACUUGGCAAUUGGAGCCUCAUGUUAUGGGAAUCCAUAGCAUGAGUAUUCCUCAUAGGGGAGUCAACACCUCCUGUUGAACUAUAAGGUGAAUCUACCUUUAUGGAAAAUCAACACCUCACAUUGUAAAGUUCACUCGCUGCUAAGCUAAGUCCAUUUUUGAAAUGUCUUUAAUACCUUUAUUAAUCAUUAUAGCUUAAUGUAUGUAAUCGGGUCUGUCCCUUGUAUAAUCAUCAUCAUCAUAUCAUAGUAUGAAUUGGAAGAGUAUAGUACUUACAUUACAAUUAAUACAUGUGAGUUUAGCAUAUUUAUAUAGUCUCAUCAUAUUAAAGCCCAUUAGUAAGUUAUCACCAUCCUUACAACAUUUACAUAUUAACCAACACCUCACAAACCAUAGUCAAUACAUUUUAAUUCUACAUCGUACCAACCAUAUCAAUCUUAAUACAAGGUAUACUCCAAUACAACUCAUCACUUAAUAACAAUUAACCAUAAUUGAAGUAAAGAGUUGAGAUCAAAAGAUAUACCAAGUCUCUUUCAUAAUCCAUCAUCAAUGUCUUACCAUACACCUUAAAUCAACCUUAUAUGGCUGCAAUAUAAUUAUACAACAAUAACCAACAUCAUAAAAAGACCAAUUGAAUUGCUACAUCACAAUCCUUGACUAGUUGACAACUUAAGAUAAGAGACUUAGGUCAAAUCCAUAAUCUAUUUCACAACAUAAAUAAGUUACUAAAGAACUGAAAUGAUAGGACUAAAAUUCAUCUUAAUCUAUUAAUAUUAAUAUAAUAACAUCAUAGGAUACUAACUCAAUCAAUUACCAAGUCAAUUAAACAAACACUACAAAAUUUACAUCAAGAUCACAACCUAGGAUUAAGGGGAAAAUAUGAUCUUCUACAAUCUUAACCAAUCCAUCAAUGAGUAGUAUAAUAUUGUCAUAAUUCAUCAUAAUUAAAUCAAUACAACCAAAAUAAACUAUUAACAAAUAAGUAUGAAAGAUCAAUUUCGAGAUUGGAAAAGACCCACAUAAAAACUCAUCUUUCGAUAUCAAUUUGAUGGAACCCUUUGAGGAACGAAGUCUCAAAGGUGAAAGAAAUCCCAUAACCUAAUGUUUCGUGAAGAUUUAUGGAGAAAAAUUGGUGAUUUCAGAACUAAAACCCACCAUGAUCUUUUCUUCUAUGUUGUUCUUCAACUUUGGAGAGAGAAAGACUAAACAAGGAAGAGAGUUUGGGCUUGGGAAUUAUGAGGGCUUAGGUUAGUUUAAUUAGGUUAGGGUUUUUAUAUAGGUUAUUAAUUAACUAAAUUAGACCUCCCAUAACCUCUAAUUAACGUCCUAAAUAAGACAAAUUAUUAAAUGAAUUAAAUAAAAACGUGCAGCAACACGAUGGCUCCACAAACAAUACCACGAUCGAUGUAUCGUGGGUCCAUGGACGGGCACUGUUCACCUCUGUGCUGCACUAUCAUCGAUAAGUUCAGAGACUGUCCAUUUGCAGGCUUCAAAAAAUUUGACUAUGUGUCCAUCGAUGGAAGAAGUCCACGCCCCAUCGAUUGGACAAUGGCUCGUGGGUUGCACACUUCGGUGGACACUGCCAUGGGUAGCCUUUGACCCUAAAAUGCAAGGGUCCUCCUUAAGGGAACUUGGUUCGUCUUUGGGGAGUCGUGCCCAAAUAUUUUGGCUAUGAAUCAAAUCUAAUGCGGGUUACAUAACUUUCACUAAUUUUUAUCUUUUCCGACUCCUAAAACUUAAUAAAAUAGGCUAAGGAACAUUAGCAUCCCAUUUGACUAGUGUUCCUUUACAUUUUGAUUCCAAAACUUCCUAAUUGACUUAUAUACAUUAAAAUAUAACUUAAAAUAGUGUAUAAUCCUUUUGAAACUUCUGUUAGGCUCUAGAACAUGUCUUAGACUUUUGAAGUGUUACAUUAUGCUCUACUUAGGAACAUUGGUACCCGAAUGACACUAAAAUCUUUGAAAGGAAGGAAUAGACUUAAGACUAGAAACCCAAAAAAUCAACAAUACUUAACAACACGAUUUACAAAAUCAAUCAUUUCCUUUAAACGAAGUAAUUCAAAACUUUGAUUACAACACAUAAGGCUCAAAAUCAGAUUAUAAGGAAUUUCCUUCUCACAACAACAAGAGCUCAACAUACAAGAUUUGUGUCAAUUAUGCGAAGACUUAACUUACAAACGUGCUCAAUAUCAUUUUUAAAAUAUUCACUAUACAAAAAUGCACAACAUAACUCAAACCAAGCAAAAUUGCAAAUUUUCAAGUAUAUAGGCAUAAUUCACUGUAAGUCACAGUAAUAACAUUAAAAAAUGCACAUUUUUUCAAAACAUCACCAAAAAUCAAGGAAAUUUCAAUUUUAAUCAUUAUUUUCAUUAUUAGUAAAAACAACUGACCUUUAUUAAGAAAAGAGAUGAGGAUAACGGGACUUCAUGUAAGCUUUAGCCUCUCAUUUUGCUCCCUCAACUAGGUUGUUUCUCCAUAGCAUUUUAACGCAGGACACCUCUUUGUAUCUCAAACUCUUUACUUGAUGAUCAAGGAUAAAAACCGGAACCUCUUCAUAAGAUAGGUUAUCCUUUACACCAAGACCCUUUAUAGGGAGCAUAGACUCGGGGUUACCAGUACACUUCUUAAGCAUAGAAAAAUUAAAAACCAGAUUAACAAAAGUGAAUUCACUAGGGAGUUUUAAUUCAUAGUCAACCUUACAAAACCUUUGCAAGAUUUCAUAGGGACCUACAUAACGAGGACUUAACUUCCCGUUCUUGCCUAAUCUAACAACCCCUUUCAUAGGAGAAAUUUUCAAGUACGCCCUAUCACCAUGUUCAAACUCUAAUUACCUUCUUCUAUGGUCAGCAUAAGAUUUUUUCUGGCUACAAGCUGUUUUCAAACAAUUCCCUAUCAUGGAACCUUCUCUGAAGUCUUUUAAAUAAAAUUGAGACCUAAAAGUCAAGUCUCACCCACUUUAAACCAUUCAAUUGGAGAUCUACAUAUCCUACCAUACAAGGCUUCAUAAGGAUCCAUAGAUCUAUGAAUAACUAUUGUAGUAAUAAAAUUCCACCAAAGGAAAAUGUUUAACCCAAUUCCCUUGAAAUCAAUUAUGAAAGAUCUAAUCAUAUCCUCAAUGAUUUUAAUAGUACGCUCCGCUUGACUAUCAAUUUGAUAAUGAAAAGCGGUGCUUAACUUCACCUUGGUACCCAACCCUUCUUGGAAUGACCUUCAAAACAUAGAUUUUAGUUGUGCACCCCUAUCCGAUGUGAUGGAUAACGGAAAACAAUGGCAACAAACAAUCUCAUUUAUGAAUAUCCUUGCAUAAUCUUCUGCCAAAUACGUAGACUUGUCGGGAAAAAAAUGAGCGUAUUUGGUCGACCUAUCCACAAACACUCAGAUACAGUCAUAUUGGUUUGGUGUCCUAGUCAAACCUACCACAAAAUCUAUAUUGAUGUUUUCCCAUUUCCAAGUAGGAACUUUGAUUGCUUGAAGUAAACCACCCGACUUUUGGUGUUCAGCCUUGACUUAUUGAUAAUUUGACACUAAGCAACAAAUUUUGCUAUGUAAUUUCCAAACCUUCCCACCAAACCACUUCCCUAUGGUUGUGGUACAUCUCUGUGAAACCCUGAUUAAUGGAGUAACAGGACCCAUGAGGUUCCUCAAUAAUCCGUCUCGUCAUAAAAUAAACAUUUGAAACACAUAAACUUCCUUAAUACAUCAAGACACCAUCCCCCAUAAGGAAAAUGACUCAUUUAGUUUGCCAAGAAAUUAUUCCUUCAAAUCCAUCAAUGUUUGAUCAUGGUGUUUUUUGGACUUCUACUCGGCCACCAAAGACGAGUCAUAGUUAUGAUGUACCACUACACCACUUAUAGGUAAUUCUUCAACCCUAAACCCUAUAUGAGACAAACUAUGAACAUCGUUCACUAGAUUUCUCUUGGCUCCCCAAACAUGGGACACACUUCCCAUGGACAAACGACUCAAAUCUCUACUACCACAUUAGACUUACUAGAGUGAUAGAGAACACUCAUGUCAUAGACUUUCAACAACUCUAUAACAAUCUUCAUUGAUGGAGAUUCAACUCGAUUUGAGCAAAUACGUAUUGAAAACUUUUAUAGUCCGUAUACACAUCCACAUGGACCCCUUACAAGUAAUGCCUAAAAUUAUUCGAAGUAAAUACCACCGCCGCUAGUUGAAGGUGAUGAGUCAGAUAAUUCUUCUCAUGAACUUUGACUUGACUAGUAGCAUAGGCAAUAAUUUUCCUAUGAUUCAUAAGAACACACCCCAACCCAACUCAGGAUGCAUCACAAAAUACCAUGAAACCCUUUGUACCCUCCGAUAGGGUCAAUAUCGGGUAAGAAGUAAGCCUAUACUUUAUGAUUGGAAGCUUCUCUCACAUGCCUUCGACCACUAAAACUUUUUACUCUUUUGGGUCAAGUAGUCAAAGGAGAUACAAUGGAUGCAAAACCAUCAUAAAACCUUCGAUAAUAACCCGCUAGACUAAGAAACUACUAAUGUCGGUUGGAUUCAAUAGUCUAGGACAAGUUUUCACCACCUUGGUUUUUUUCCGAUAAACUUCAACUCCCUCACUAGAGAUUAUAUGAACAAGACACACCACCAACCUCAACCAAAACUCACAUUUUCUAUACUUGGCAAAUAAUUGGUGUUCCUUAAGUAAUUGUAACACCAACCUCAAAUUGUCAAUGUGUUCACCCUCAUUAUUCGGAUAGAUCAAGAUGUUAUUAAUCAAAACAAAGACAAAUGAAUCUAAGUAACUUACAAAACACUCCAUUCAUGAGAUACAUCAACGUCGCCGUCAUAUUAGUGAGACCAAAGUACAUUAUGAAGAAAUCAUAGUUACCAUAUCUAGUACGAAAUGUCAUUUUUGGUAUAUCCUCACCUCUAACUCUAAGUUGCUGAUACCCCGAUCUCAAAUCAAUCUAAUAAAAGUAGCUUGCCCUUGGAGUUGAUCAAACAAGUCGUCAAUCUAAGAGAGAGGAUACUUGUUCUUAAUAAUGACUUUAUCUAUUUGGUGAUAUUUCAUGCACACCCUAAGUGAACCAUGAUUCAUAUGCACAAAUAAAACUGGAGCACCCCAUGGAGAAAUACAAGUUCUAUUGAAGUCGUUAUCUAGUGAAUAUUUGAGUUGAGCGUUUUACUCUUUUGAUUUGCCGGAGACGUCUGAUACGCUCAAACUUACUUCUCCAAUAUGAAGUAAAGCGGUCGUGUCAAGUAAAUAACCCAACUAGUGAGGUGUUCCCACGAGGAAAUUAGUCUAGACUUAACUUCAACCUAUUAUUACUAUUGUUUGGUCAAUGACUUCCUUCGAAAUUAAAAAAAGAAAAAGGGGGGUUUUAUCUCUAAUUAAGGGAAAAUAAAUAACGAAUUUGAAAAAGACACUUCACAGCUUUUAAUGUUGGGUUUUAAUCAAUUAAUCAAAGUAACUAGGGUUUACGGGUUCUCCACAGGUUCAUAACUUGAUAACUCAUACUAUAACAAUUCUUUCGCAGUAUCUUGCAUGCAAAGUGAUAAGUCAUGGAUUUCUAAAUGCUUGGUCCGAAAUCUAGAAAAUCUAACUCCGCACCUUGGUCCAGCUACAUGUGUUGCUAUCCUAAAAUCUCACUCCGCACCUUGGUCCGGCUACGUGUGUUGCUAUCCUAACACUUAUCCUUACCUCAUAUUAAGCAUCGUAUUCGAUAUUUGACUAAGUUAUUACCUCGUACCAAUCAAUACUAGCCUAUUAGAUAGUAUACACUAAAUCUAUGUUAAUAAUUCUUUUCCUAUUAUCUACCUCCUUGGUCUGGUAAGCAGCAUUAAGGCGAGUUCUAACAUUGGCCAUCCAUUAAAAAGACUUCUAAAUGAAAGAAUUAUUAAUACAUGCAAGACACUAAUCUAGAAUUGUUAUUUUAGUUAGGGUUUAUCUCAUUAUUUGCCUAUGGUUCCCACAACCCUAGUUAUAGAGUUUAGUUACUCAUAGCAAUCAACACAAUAUUCAAAUAUAUUAUAUACGAAUUCAUGUACUUACUUCAAUGAGAAAGAAUAAAAUCCAAAGUUUGCUUGAAUAAUAUCAAAAAAAUCACUUCCAAGAAUCUCAAAAUCCAACACUAAUACACAAAGUCUAAAAAUCUGAUGUCUAAUCUCACAGAGUCUGACAAUACGGAGUCUAACAAUACGGAGUCUAACAAUACAGAGUCUAACCUCAAAAACGAGAUUUUUAGAACUAUUUCUAAAAAACAAAAACCUAAUUAAACAAGGAUUAUAAUUGCUGGAAAUCUGCCAAAACGCGGCUGGGUCGACGGACCGUCAUGGACUCCGCCGUCCCAUACUUGUGCAAUUUCUUUUGCUGCUAUCUUCAUUCCCCUCGACGGCAAGUACGACGAACCUACAGGACGGACCGUCAUAGCCAUGACAGACCGCCACAAGCUACGUAACCCCACACUUGGUCAGACUUCCCCAUCUUCCUUCAGCAGCUUCUCUACGCUGCCACCUACAGACCGUCAGAAGCUCCGUAGGUGGUCUCUUCUACAAUUCUUCGCUCAAAAUCUCCGCAUUUAGCUUUGGACAGAUUUCCUGCAAAACAAAGAGAAACUUAUAUAAAAAUUAGCACAAAAAGGCUUUAGGACACACUAAACUUAAGGAAAAAGUAUUAAUAAUACCGUGAAACCAUGGUAUAUCAACACCCUCAACUUAAAUUCGUUGUUUGUCCUCAAGCGACGCACUAUGACUCACUACACAAUCUUUGUACAAUAGUAUCCAUGUUUUAUCCUUUGCAAUCAUUUGGCUAUCAAUCUCUAUUAAUCUCAUCAAAUCUAUGCAUGCUAUCACUAUUAGGCUUGAAUUUCAUGGGAUCAGAACAUGACACAGACUCACCACGCACUAACACAUAUCCUCUUCAUUUUCUCACUGGGGUGCUAACAAUUCUAGUAUUGCAACUAGUCUCCUCACUUUAAAAUAAAAUCAUCCUUUUUCACACAAUGAUUUCAGUUUCAGUAUAACGAUUACUUUUCAACACUCACUCUCAGAACAAAGUCACACUCAUUCAUACCUUUUUGCCAUAAGCUUGCCCUUAUUUUCACUGCCUUAAGUUCGCUAUACAACCCUUAGGAUCACGAUAGGACUUUCUUAGCUUGUAACAUAGGCUUGGGGUAAGGUAAGGUAUAUUUUGGUAUACUAUAGUGACUUUUUGCCCUCCUUGACAUAUCAGCUAAACCUUCCACAAUCUCUCAUUUUAUCUCACCCAGUUUCUCAUAUUCUUUCACCUUGCUAUUUUCUCUUCUUUCUUCAUUUGUGUAAUUGACUCUCUUCUUUUCUUGCUUGUAUUUCUUGUGUAUUAUUCUUUUCAUCUAAUUCUUGAGUCACUUUACUUUUAUUAUUUCUCUCUCUUUGUUCUUUCAACCCCACAUUCCAGAGCAUUCCUCAUAGUAGCCACCCUCAACUCAUGGCUUUGCCAUGAGUCAAGGUACACAAUACCCAAAGUUAGGUCAGGGCCAUAAUAAAGGUUGUUUAUGCAUUAGACACCCUCAACUUAUGCUUUUGUCAUAAGUUGAGGUUCACAUGUCCAAGGAGGGACCAGGGCAAACAUAUUGUUCCCAGAAAAGAUCGGUUGGGGUGAAAAAGAAAGGUCUAAUUUUAAGCUCAGAUUAUUUGGAUCAAAGAAGGAUAACUUUCAUUUGGUUUCUUUUAUUUAGGCCAGAAAUGGGCUAUCUUGAAUAAGGGACUAUGAUCCUUUCCUAAUUGUCUGUUACAGCUUUCUUUUAGCAGGACUAACCAGGCAAGUUCUAGCUCAGUACCAAUAGUGGACUAUUCAGAUUUCCUCACACUCACUUGACAUCUCAUCACUAUGCCAGAUUAUCAGACACCUAGUUCGAAUUGAAGACUUAGGGUAAUGCAAUGGUGUAACUCUAUUUCAUGCUUAGAGCCACAAAAUUAUAAGUUACUAUGCCUAGUCAUGCAACAUUUUCUAGUUUUAUCAAGAUAUCAUUUCAGCCAUCAUGCUUCAGAGUUAAACUAUGUACAAAAGAUAUAAACAUGCCGGUUCAACAGAAAAAGUAAUUAGUGUUUUGGUGAAAAAGAACACAGGCAAGAAAACCCCAAAAUAGGAUAGUGAGUUGGGCUACUCAGACUUCACCCUAACACUCACUUUCCAUUUACCCCACCCCCAACAAAAAAGCAUGCAAUUGUCCCCAAUGCAUAAAAAAAUCUAGAUAUUAGAGUGGUAGGUGAAGCAAACCUGUGGCGCAAAGCGCCGUCGAUCAGCAAGAUGGUGGGUCCGAUUCCCCGGAACCCACGUCCUUUGCAAUCUGGACACCCUCAGUUGUGUCCUCAGCAACAUCCACACCAUCAGUAGUGACUCCUGCUAUCUCUGCAGUGCGGGAGCUAGACGCCCCAGCCGCUAACUGUGAUGCUCUGAUCUGGUGUGCCUCCUCCUCAGCAAGUGAGGCUGUCCUCGCAGUCUCCAUCUCUCGGCGCUCCUUCUUCCUUGGUCGCGCCUCAUCCUCUGCUCGACCCCUACGCCUCUUGGCACUCUCUCGAGGGGGAGGUGGUGGAAUUUCUGAAGUAGCAAACAGAGCUGCCAAUACAGUGUCCUCUACAGGCUCGACAGACUCCGGCACCCUCGCCUCUAGGAUCGUGUCGAUGUCUGCACAAAGACUGUCGACUGCAGCCUGAAGAGUCGACACAUCCCUCGGAGGGGCUGGUCGAUCUAACACUCUCAACUCAAAGGCGUCCAGGCGCUGGUUAACCUCAGCAAUCUUCCGCUCUGUAAACUGCUUCAUUUUCCUCUCUAGACGCUCUUCAGACUCAGUGAUCAACUUCUGCAUGCACGACUGGAUAUGAUGCAGAAGAGUGGCCAUUUGUGCCUCUAGUUUUUGGACCCUAGCAAGUGGGACCAAUGCCGGUAGAGGGGCUGUGCGAGAGGAGCUCAGGGUUGUGCUACUACCCGGGAUAGACUCGACCGAGGUAGUGUCAGUGGACGACUAUAUAGCUGUGCGGGACUUGGCAUAUAGGCACACCUGCGGACCUGCAAAGGGCAAAGAUCAUACACGGGAAGGGGUAGGUAGUAGUGACCUUGAAUGCCCUGUCGUGCAUGACUGCCUGGAGAAGCCAUGCAAAGUCCACCUCGAAUCCGGCUAUAAUCGCCGCCAUCAGCACUACUCGAUCCCAGGUCACGAUGUUAUCAGCAGCUGUGGGUUAAAGGCAUUGACGGACAAGCAGCCACAAGAACUUUGCUAUGAACGUGAGGUUGUCCUUCUUGAUGGCGCCCUUCGGCUCAGUGACCCAAUCGGCACCCUCUCCAUCUACUGACAGGUGCAGGGCCAUCCACCUUUUGGUAGUCACUCUUAGUGCUGGCUCGCGCAAGAACUGUCCAUCCUUUACUAUCGUCCAGCGGUAGUCAAACUCGGCAGUGAUGGGGGUCCGAGUAGCAUCUGCACUCUCGCCGUAUACAAAUCGACGGAUGGCUGGCAGGGAAAUGUCAACCUCCAUGCCCUGGACUCGAACCUUCUCCAGUGGGGCCUUUUUACCGGGAGCAGCCCGCUUAUCGAUCUGUGAUCGGAGAGUCACUACGUAGGAUGCGUAGAACUCUCAGACCAUUUCCUCGCUAUAUCGUCCCAAUGGACAUGCUGUCCACUCUAAGCGAUGCCUGGUGAAGAGGUUGUGGAUCUCCGGCAUCGUUGGGAGACUCCCUGUAAGUACCCGCCGCUCCAAGGCGAGUGUUCGAGUCAUUACUCCUUUAUCGGUCAGGAACUUGGCGUCGGAGUAAACUUUAAACUGGUCGUCGACACACCAUCAAGAUGUUAUUAAUCAAAACAAAGACAAAUGAAUGUAAGUAACUUACAAAAAACUCCAUUCAUGAGAUACAUGAACGUCGCCGUCGUAUUAGUGAGACCAAUGUACAUUAUGAAGAAAUCAUAGUUACCAUAUCUAGUACGAAAUGUCAUUUUUGGUAUAUCCUCACCUCUAACUCUAAGUUGCUGAUACCCCGAUCUCAAAUAAAUCUAAGAAAAGUAGCUUGCCCUUGGAGUUGAUCAAACAAGUCGUCAAUCUUAGAGAGAGGAUACUUGUUCUUAAUAAUGACUUUAUCUAUUUGGUGAUAUUUCAUGCACAUCCUAAGUGAACCAUGAUUCAUAUGCACAAAUAAAACUGGAGCACCCAUGGAGAAAUACAAGUUCUAUUGAAGUCGUUAUCUAGUGAAUAUUUGAGUUGAGCGUUUUACUCUUUUGAUUUGCCGGAGACGUCUGAUACGCUCAAACUUACUUCUCCAAUAUGAAGUAAAGCGGUCGUAUCAAGUAAAUAACCCAACUAGUGAGGUUGGGAUCGUUCCCACGAGGAAAUUAGUCUAGACUUAACUUCAACCUAUUAUUACUAUUGUUUGGUCAAUGACUUCCUUGGAAAGUAAAAACAUAAAAAGGGGAUUUCUAUCUCUAAAAAAGUGAAAAUAAAUAAAGAACUUGAAAAAGACACUUGACAGCUUUUAAUGUUGGGUUUUAAUCAAUUAAUCAAAGUAACUAGGGAUUACGUGUUCCCCACAGGUUCAUAACUUUAUAACUCUAAAUAUAACAAUUCUAUCCUAGUAUCUUGCAUGUAGAGUGAUAAGUUAUGUAUUUCUAAAUCCUUGGUCUAGCAUCUAGAAAAUCUCACUCCGCACCUUGGUCUGGCUACGUGUGUUGCUAUCCUAAUAUCUCACUCCGCACCUUGGUCCGGCUACGUGUGUUGCUAUCCUAACCCUUAUCCUUACCUCAUAUUAAGCAUCAUAUUCGAUAUUUAACUAAGUUAUUACCUCGUACCAAUCAAUACUAGCCUAUUAGAUAGUAUACACUAAAUCUAUGUUAAUAAUUCUUUUCCUAUUAUCUACCUCCUUGGUCCGGCAAGAAGCAUUAAGGCGAGUUCUAACGUUGGCCAUCCAUUAAAAAGACUUCUAAUCGAAAAAAUUAUUAAUACAUGCAAGACACUAAUCUAGAAUUGUUAUUUUAGUUAGGGUUUAUCUCAUUAUUUGCCUAUGGUUCCCACAACCCUAGUUAUAGAGUUUAGUUACUCAUAGACAUAAACACAAUAUUCAAAUAAAUUAAAUACGAAUUCAUGUACUUACUUCAAUGAGAAAGAAUAAAAUCCAAAGUUUUCUUGAUUAAUAUACAAAAAAUCACUUACAAGAAUCUCAAAAUCCAACACUUAUACACAAAGUCUAAAAAUCUGAUGUCUAAUCUCAUAGAAUCUAACAAUACGAAGUAUAACAAUACGGAGUCUAACCUCAAAAACGAGGUUUUUCGAACUAUUUAUAAAAAAACAAUGACCUAAUUAAUCAAGGACUCUAAUUGCUGGAAAUCUACAAAAACGCGGUUGGGUCGACAGACCGCGCGAUGGACCGUCAUGGUCACGACGGACCGUCAUGGACUCCGUCGUCCCAUGCUUGUGCAAUUUCUUCUGCUGCUAUCUUCAUUCCCCUCGACUGCAAGUAUGACGGACCAUCGUAGGCACAACGGUCCGUCGAGGGUCUUCGUUUGAAAACACUUCAACUCUUAGAAUCUGGGUACUAGGAUCACUUCUCUGAACUUCAUGACGAACCUGCAGGACAGACCGUCAUAGCCACGAUGGACCGUCACAAGCUACGUAACCCCAACCUUGGUCAGACUUCUCCAUCUUCCUUCAGCAGCUUCUCUACGAUGCCACCUACGGACCGUCACAAGCACGACGAAAUGUCAUAAUCUCCAUAGGUGGUCUCUUCUGCAAUUCUUCGCUCAAAAUCUCCGCAUUUAGCUUUGGACAAAUUUCCUGCAAAAUAAAGAGAGACUUACAUAAAAAUUAGCACAAAAAGGCUUUUGGACACACUAAACUUAAGGAAAAAGUAUUAAUAAUACCGUGAAACCACGGUAUAUCAACGUCGGAUAAGGAAGAAUUCAAAUGGUAUUUGUAUCAGGCAAAAAGUCGAUACCAAAAUCUAUUUCCUAUUCUGUAGGAAAACCUGGAAGAUAAUUAGGAACGACCUCUGGAAAUUACCCUUCUUCGGGGACCAACUCAAUGAGAGGAAUUUAGGAGUCUAAUAUUAUACUUACUAUAUGGUCUAAAAAGCCUUUAGAGUUCAUCCUAAAAGUUUUCAAACAAGAAAUUAGAUGACCUCUAGGAAUAGAAUCCCCCCCCUCUUCCACUCUAAAACAACCUCAUUUGGAAAUUUAAACUUCACCACACUUGUUCUACAAUCUAUAGAGGCAAAGCAAGCAUGCAACCAAUCCAUACUCAAUAUGACAUAAAAAUCAAACUUACCAAGUUCUACUUGUUCAACAUGAUAACUCUUAUGGGAAACAUUAUAGGACAAUUUCUAUACAAUCUUUUUGCAACCACUGACUCACCUACCCUGUUAGUUCCUAUGGAAGGUUAAAUUAGAAUAUCUGGCAAAAGCUCAAACUUCUUAGGUAUAAAGGGAGUAACAAAAAACAAUGUAGGGCAUGGAUCGAGUAAAACAUAUACAAAAAUAGAAAAGACUUUCAAUAUACCGGUAACCACGUUGGGAGAUAUCUCUUGCUUACCCCUUGAGUGAAGGCAUAAAAACGAUUCUUCUUAGGAUCAUCAACAUUUGAGCCACUUGUUUGAUCUCUACUACUACACUUCUCUUUCCCGUUAAAAUUUGGGCAAUCUAGAACCUUGUGACCACUUUUACCACACCUAAAAAUAUUGCCCAUUCCAACUAAGCAUUCUCAUAAGUGAUCUUUUCCACACUUGGAACAAGUAGUCAUCUUUUUUGGUGAAAUAAUAUCCCUUUCAUUUUUAGGCUUAGAGUUUAUAACCCUAAAAUAAAGAAACCUAUGGAACUUGGAAGGAACUGUUUUAGAAAACCUCUUCUAAAAACCUAGCCUUGUCUUGGAUAUCAAGCCUACCCUAUGAAAAACUACCAUCAAAUGAUCUAGACCUCUUAGCAUCUCUACUAUUUCUUAUAUCCCUUAUGUCUCACACUUGUUGGUCAUGAACCAUGAGACGAGAAAUUUAUAUAUUGUCAUGUAGUAUUGCCGAAUGAAAUUCCUCAUGCAAUUAAUCGACACUCCCAUUUAAAAAGUUGUUCAUUUCAUCACUAUCGUUGGAAACCAAAAAAGGAGCAUACUUUCACAAUUUAGUGAUUUCAAAGAGAAUUCAAGUACACUCAUACCUCCUUUAAAAAUGUUGAUGAACUCCUUUAAUUUUGCUUCCGUCAUCUCCCUAGGAAAGAACGUAUAAGGAAAAGCCUUCUUGAAAGCUUCCCAAGUCACAAUCCACCUCUUAGGGGCCUAUUGUUUUUCCAUUGGAAGAACAUGUUUUGGGCCACAUAUUUGAGUUUGUAAGUGUCUAAGUCGUCCUUCUCACUAGUAGUCAACCCCCUAGCAUAGAGGAUCUUGUCGAUUUAAUCAAUGAAGUAUUGGGGGUCUUCUUCAACCUGGACUAGCAAAAAGUAGGGGGAUUGAUUAUAAUGAAGUACCUCAAACGAGAUGUCAUGGUACCAACAUGUUUGUUAUCUUGGGGUACAACCUCUCGAUAAUCUUGGGAUGUCAUGGAUUGAGCUUGAGUAGUUACUACUUGUGCUUGAGUAGCAUUGGAUUGCGCCCAUUUUGAGAAGGGGAGCCGUUAUGUUCCGAUCCUUCCAAAGAGGAGGAUUCACCAAAGCUUGGUCGUCAUUAGCAUCUUCUUCAAGAGUAGGAAAUGGAUUGCUUCGGGGAGGAGCUCGCGCAUUGGCAAUCUCUUCACAAAGUAAUCGUUUCGUGUUCUUAGAGCAUUUAUUUCCUAUAAUCACAGUUAAUGGAUUAGAUGCUAAGAGCACAUAGUGAUAAAACUCUAGACGCACGAUUUUUGGCAUCCAUGAAAGUGAGAGUUUCCUAAGCAUCACAUAGGCUCCUAUCCAUAAGUGUGGCGCACUUAACAAAUAUGAGUAAGAAUCUACUUAAUCGUGGUUGAGAGAGACAACAAAUCGAAGGCAUAAAACCUUGCUAUGAUACCAAGUUUGUCAAAUCUGGAGAGCACCCCCUAGAUGUAACCUACAUCAUCCUCCUCUUGGAGGACUAAGACUAGUCUUACAACUUAAGUCAUUAUAUUAAUAGGUUAAAAAUACGGAAAAUUUUGAAACUUUUUCAUUACUUUUACAUUGAGGUUUACGUUGACCUCUACAUACACAUAAUAUUUGUAUCCAGUAUACGUAGACCAUUCGUAUAGGAAGAUUACAUAGCCUCUUAUUUUAUUGCACAUUGAUUUAUAAAAUAUUACAUUGUCUUAAUUGGUUGUCUCAUCUCCUAAACCAUCUAAACACCAUUAUAUGAAUCUGGGAUAUCCCAUACAUAAAACUAAUAAGGCCACGUGGGAUAUAUAAUGUUUAGUAUUCAGAUUAAAAGAAAAGAACAUAAGUCUUAAAUAUAAAACAACUUCAUUAGCUUGAUAUUAACAUUCCCCUCGAAAAGUGAGGACAUGUGACACUUUAAUGAGUGAUAAUUAGAAGUCUUCCUUCAAAGUCAUCUCAAAAUCUCUUCAAUGAACAGAAUACAAAACAUUGGUGAAAAGAGAGAAAAUGGGGUAAGUACUUCACUUAUACUAAGUAAAAGACCGUACGGACAUACAUCAUAAUAUAAAGCUAAGAAGGGGACAAUUCAUUAGGGUAUGCAAUUUACUUUGAAAAGCCUUAUGCACAUUCAAGAAGACCAUAUCAAUCAAUAAGGCAUAUUCGUCACGUCAAAAUCGUGUAAAUCACAAGACUAACAAUAUUAUAUCUAGUCAAGUCAAGAUGCAUAUCACAUAAUUUAAGACACAGUCUAAGGAAAUUUAUCAUCAAGUUAUAGUAACAAUAACGAUGGAUAAGAUUUCAUUACAACACUAAAAAGCAAGGCAAUUACCCAUGAACCCUUAUUAAGUGAACUAGUGAAAUGAACAAGCAAAGCCCCAUAACCUUACCCAAUCAACGAAACCCAACAAGAAUCAUGACCAACAUCAAACUUAACUUAACUUGACAUUUAACAUUUGUAUCAAAAUACAUUGGCAUUAGAGACGAAACACCUAUUCAUAAGGGAAACAAAUAAACAUAUAAUAUCAUCAAUGCAUAAGAUCAUCAUAUACAUAUCAUCUACAAUUGUAUGCAUAUACAUACAUACGAAUAUCCUCUUGAGGUUUCGCUCAAGAAAAACUAGUGCAGGCAUAGGAAGUGUCCUACACCCCUACUUAAUCAAAGUCAAACCUCUCAAAGUACAAUAUUUGGUUUGUACUUCAUUACUUAAUUUUAUUUAAGGGAAUACUUGCCUUAACAAAUAUAUACCACAAGAUCUAAUUGUGAAAUCAGUGUUGUAAAACCUCACACCGAUGGGAGGUAUUCUACCAUCCAAAGUAUAACCAAACACAAACGUACCUUUCUAGGUGGAUCCACUAGCUAGUCUUUCUGUGGGGGAAACAUAGUUCAAGAAUACGAGAUAGGUCUGUACAUGCCACUUGAAAAUUGGAGCCUCAUCUCAUUGGAAUACAUAGGAUGAGUGUCCCUCAUCUCAUGUUGUAUUAUAGGGUGAAUCUUACUCUAUGGAAAGUCAAUACCUCACAUUUUCAGGUUCACUCGGUGCUAAGCUAAGACCCUUUUUGAAAUUUCAUUAAUACCUUUAUUAUCAUCAAAGCUUAAUCUAUAUAAUAGGGUAUAUCCCUUGUAUAAUCAUUAUAUUCAUAGCUCAAUAAGAAUUCCAUGAGUAUAGUCAUUUCAUUACAAUUCAUACAAGUGUAGUUAGCAAAUUUACAUAGUCAUAUCGUAUUAAUGCACAUGGUUAGUUAUCACCGUCCUUAUAACAUUUACAUCUUAGCCACCACCUCACAAACAAUAGUCAAGAUAUUUCAAUUCAACAUCAUAAAAAAACAAUAAAUCUUAUUACAAGGUAUACUUCAACUUAACUAUCACACCCGGAUUCAGGAAUCCGGAUGCAACCGACGUCGUUAACCACUAAGAGGUCGCAAAAAAAAUCCUCUUCUUAGCUUUUAUCACAAUCAUAUAGUUAAAUGUAUGGAAAGUUAAUAAUUUUUAAACAUAGAGAAGUAUGCAUAGACUUCAUAAGAUUACAAUAUAGAAUAAUAUUCUAUUGAGCUCAAACUAAACAACCAUGUACAAUCCAUUUAGCAAUACUAUGAAUAAAUCAAUAUAUCUUAAUAGUUUGCCAAAGGACUUAAUACAAAGCUUUGAAUAAAAGUCUGAAAUGAAACGAUAGGGACAACAUCCACUAGCUAUGUCAAAAGUACUAAGCUCGAAUUAUAGGUGUCGCAUCAUGUAACUCAAUAAGGCGUAAAGUCUGGAGAUCGGUGAUCCAAACCUCUUCAAUGAGUCUUCAAUCUGCACUCUGAAUUGCGCCAAUAAAGGAGUAAUAGUAUAGGGUUAGUACACACUUUUAAUAAGGAUGGUAUGUGCACAUAUACACAUAAGUACUAUGCAUGAUAAAGGAAAGCUCUUCCUACAACAAUAUGUCAUUUCUGGAAAGUGAAGUCAAUAGACUUUUCUAAUUUGUUAUUUGUGAUUUGUGGUAUGAUUAUGACGUAUUUUAAUGCAUUCAAAACACACAACUCAUUUUCUAUAUGAACAUAAUACCUAGAAUCAUGACUAUAAUUUUAGAACAACUCGAACGAAAUUUUGAAAUUUACUCCCACUUAACUUGGGAUCUCCUUCGCUAACACUUAGUUUAUUUUUUAGUAUUUUUAUUCUUAUUGAUGUGUAGUUAAAUGAUAUACUUUAAUCUUAUGUUUUUACAUAUAAGUGCAAGGAUUCAUUGUAUUCCCAUGCCUACAAUGAAUCAAGUAAGGAAUCUAAAAGAAUAGGGAAAUGAUUUAUCUACCCUUACUAUAGUUUAUUCUUUCCAUUCUUGUUAAAUUGGGCAUGAAAUCUUUAUAAGCCAAUAUGUAUUGGCUAGGCCACUUAUUUCAUGAUUUUCAUAUUAGGGAGAUUAUGUGGCAUUAAGUAGCCAUUACGUUUUACUAACCUUUAUUGGCAUAUCAUAAUAAGUCACUAUAAGCCAAUUAUUUAUUUGGCUGUGCCCAUUAUUUUAUCAUUUGCAUAACGUGAAGAUAUUGAAGCAUAAUUUUUUAACCACUGAUGGUUUGAUAUACUCAAGUUCUUACUUUUUUAGCGUACUUUUAACUUACAUAUCUUCUUCAUAUCUUCUUCAUUCUUUCUUACAUUCUUAAAGAAAUCUAUACAUUAUGAAUAUGUGAGCAAACAUGAAAUCCAGUGUCUGCCCCACAGUGAAAAAUGGUGGUUCACCUAUAAAAGUGAAUCUAGAUCAUGUUAGUUUAACAUGAAAUCCAUUGUCUGCACCACACCGAAAAGGGGUGAUUCAUCAGCUAAAGUAAAACAAUGUCUAGUGUCUUCCCCACACCGACAAUAGGUGGUUGACUUCUAAAGUGAACAGAAUACUUUCUUUAAUCAUUUAGCCGAUAUAGAUUAUAUUAACUAAGCAUGAAAUCUAGCCUAUGCCCCACACUAAAAAGGGGUAGUUUCACCGGCCAAACUGAUACCGCAUCAUACCUAGCUCUCUUAGGUUGAAUCCACUGGCUAGUUCUUAUGCUUGCAGCAUAAUUCAAUGACUAGGAGACAUAUGGAACUACUUAUCAACUUUGGUGGUAGUCUCAUCUCAUGAGGGUAACAUCUGCUUGCACAAGUUUAUUGCUAGUGCAUUGGUGCUUUGCUCAGCUUCUUUUUCUUUACAUCUUUUAGAGUUGACUCAAACAUUAUAAAAGCUUGCUUUUUACUUAUGAGGUUUACUUAACUCUUUGGAUAAUAGGUCAUACCUUCAUUUACUUGAUGAAAUCUGAAUUUAACCUUACAUUAUAAUCUUGAUGUUUAUGAGACUCGUCUUCCGAUUAUUAACACCUUUUUUGUGAGUAUAUUUAGCACAUUUGUCUAGGUGUUAGUGAGACAUGUCUCACUUCUUUUAACACCUCAUUCUGGUUACUUUCAUAAUUCUAAAUCUUUUAAUUAUGUUAUGACACACCUUAUCUUGUCCAAUGACAUUUGGUAGCUUGAUACAAUUUUUUAUGAAUGUUAUAUGCUUAGUUCAACAAAGUUAAAUUGGUCAUGGUUAAUUUGGUUUAAAUAAUUCAUUAGCAAAUUCUUUAUCAUAUCAUUGAAAUAAUAUUGUAAGCCAAUUCCAUUCCACUUUUUGGACAAUGUAUUGUUAGCCAAUUCAUUGGCAUAAACAAAACUUUCGAUUAAACAAUUUUCAUUAUGUUAUCAAUAGAAACAUCAAUUAAUCCUCUGAAUUUAUUAUAGUGAUCCCCCCAAUAUAAAGUCAAAUUUAACCAUUAAGCAUUACAUCCUUCUUUAUUUCAUAUAACUAAUACCCUAAUAUAUUGAAUCAAGUAUAUAGCCUCAUUAGUCAUUAACAAAUCAAGAACCUACACACAAUGAUCAGUUAGCACCACAUACCAAUAACAUAUUCGAGAUUACAUCUAUAUUCUUGUAGGAUCGAAAACAAGGAUAACUAGAGAGAUGGACGUUCAACAAUAUCAUUGGGAAUAACUCUAGUUUCAACAUUCAUGAAUUCAAAACAUUUAAAAGGCCUCUCCAAGAAAAAAUUCCAAGAGAGAAAACCCAUACUUUAUGUAGAAUUAAAACUACGAAGAUCACCUUGCACGAAAACUUUGAAGAAUACCUUCUUAUCGCCUAAGAGAGCUUAUUCUGUUUUCUAUGUUUUUGCACACUAUUUUUCUCACGAUUGCGUACUGUUUUAAGUCGUGAAUUCUGUAGUUGUUUUAACAUGAGCCUAAGUAUUAGGAACUGAUAUUGACUAAUUAAAUUUAGGCUAAUUAAGUUAGUAAAAUAAAUUAAUUAGUUAAUUGAUAAAAUGCCCUUUCUAGAUUGACUAAAAAUAGGAAACCAUUUAACUUAGUCAAAUCUAAAAAAAAAUUAUGAGUUUUUGCCUUGCUUGUAAAUUUUCCUUAGUUAAUUAAUUCCUUAAAUUAAUUAAUUAAGGGACCUAGGUUAAUUACUAAAUUACCCCUAAGACAUUGGGACCAUAACUAACUCUUUUGGACGAUCCGAGGUUAGGUACUAGGAUGUUUCUUGAACUAGUUAUUAAGUUAGUGUAACUCAAUUAAGUCUUGCGUUUUUGGGUGCACUCGAUAGUAUAUUUUUGUUUGUCCUAGGUUAGUUAGAUAGUUAGUUCAUUUAGUUAUAGACGAGAUUUUGUUAGAGAGUUAUUCCCCACAUGGGUGGACCUUUGCGCACGCCUUCCCCCUAACUUCCCUGAACGAAUUCGGUUAGGGUGGUCCCCUCCCUUAGCCAAUUUUCACAUGUGCUUGCACAUGUGUUAAUUGUAAUUUCCUUACAUAAUAUUCUUUAUGGUUCAUUUGGAGUGCUUACUAUCGUCCCAAAGAUCCUCACUAUUAUCUUGGGCACUACUUUUUGUCUACAUGCCCAUUAAAUUUGGACACAUGCUAUGGUGCCAAGGCUUGACACAUGGAUGCCUCGCACCUAAUGUGCAAAUGGUAGAAAACCUAUGUUUUUAGAUUUGGGACUUAAAGUAGGUAUACUUAUUGGACAAGCUUGUUAAUACAUAGAAAAUUUGCUAGCACCCUCUAAGACAAUAUUUCCUAAAUAUUGUGCACUUGGAUGUCGUUUACCCCCAAUACCUAUUCUUAAAACUUAAUAGGCUCUUCAUUAGACGUGUACAUUUUCUGGAAUAAUACGUUAUCCCCCCUUAGGAAUAUUCAUCCAAAAAUGAAAUUAUACAUCCUUUUAAACCAACGAGGGUAAUUUCGAAAACACAUUAUCUUACUUGAAACUUUACUCUUUGUAAAUUUGUUAUUCACAUUUACUCUGUAUGAUGCAUAUUACUCAUAGAUUAUCUGAAAUUUCAUGUUUGAGAUUGAGGAACUUCAUUCUUAAUCACAAUUAACUUAAUGCACAUCACAACUCAUGUAACACAAAAAUCAUGUCUACAGUUAGAAAAACCACAUCAUGAAUGCAAACAUGAACUCAUUUUAACUCAUAUUGUGCAAGUAUAAGAGACACGAUUAUGAACUUUAAAAUCAAAUCGGCAAAUGCAUUAACAAGUCAGUGUUUCAUAAAUAAAAACCAGACAUAGGAAGAGUAUAUCUGACCUAAAGAACUAAACAAGUUAGGGUAACGGGAUCUUAAUCGACUAGGUAAGACAUGAAGUUUUUAGCUGUUUGGUCUUAACUUGUUAGCAAUUUGGGAACACCUCUAAAACAUAGAAUAUCUCACUACAUACCUCCCAACCAAUAGAUCUCCUUGAGAUCAUGAUACAUCUUGACACUCAUUCACUAUGGACACUGAGUCUAUGGAAGGAACAUCAUGUUCUAAGUCAUCGACUCUUACUAAGUUGUAUAACUACCCCUUAGAUAACAUCUUAUUGGAUUUAAGAUGGGAAACUAUUUGACUUGUCGGAUUUUAACUACGCCCUUCCCAUUCCAACUCUAACUCAUUAGGAAACUGAAAUCUUACUACCCUGUUUAGAAAGACUAUGGUAGCAUAACAUCUAUGGAGCCAAUCCAUACCCAAAUUUAUAUCAAUGUCAACCAUUGUUAAUUUUAUUAGGUCAGCAUAGAUAACUCUAUCAAGAAUAGUUAUCUAGCAAAUCUCUAUAUACCCUUUCAGUUCUAAUGUUGUGUCUUAUGGUAGUACUUAAUAGAAAAGGUUCAUGCGAGAUCUCAGGAUGCAAGUCAAAUUUAUUAGUUACUAAAGGUGAAUCAAAAGACAAGGUGGAUCCAUGAUCUUACAAUGCAUGACCAGGAAGAGAAAAGACAAGCAAGUUACCAUUGACCACAUUAGUUGACUUUCCUUCUCCUAUCUACCUUUCAAAUCAUAAAACAGGUUCCUCUUAUGAGGCUUAGCUGUAGCAGUAGGAUUAGGAGGAGGCUGAGCAUUUGCUUUGGCCUGGUUCUUCACAUGUAGGCAGUCCCUAAUUAUAUCCCCACUCUUGUUGCACCCAUAGAAAGAAUUAGUACCUACCAAGAACUCACCUCCAUGCAUACGACAAAACUUACCACACGGCUCUCUGUCACGCUGGGCAUUUCUAUCAUUGCCUUUCUUGGAGUCAGACUUGUCUACCUCGGAGUUAGUGUUAUUAGAAGUUGUAAGAUUACCUGAAUGCUUGUGCCCCUUAUUGAACUUGGGCCUAUUCAAAACUAUAAUGAAAUUAUUACCAUUACUCGAAUCAUACUGAUCCGAGGACCUAGAUUUCUAUCUCUCUCGGUCUCUCUUUCUCCGACUACUUUCCUCAACCUUCUGUGCAUGUACCAUCAACCUACCAAGGUCCAUGUACUCAUGCAACAUAGCUACCCGACAUUCCUCCUCCAAAUCCUCUAACACACUAAUCUUCAUCUCAUCCCUUCUAUUGGACACAAGAGAAGGAACAUAUUUCGAGGGCUUAGUAAAUUUCAAGGAAUACUCCUUGGCUGACAUACCUUCAUGUCGUUGGUUAAUAAAUCUCAACCUUAGCCUCUCUUGGUUCCGUGGGAAAGAAUCUCUCUCGGAAUUCAAUCUUAAGAACGUCCCAAGUAAUGGGAACUUCUCCUGGUGCUCAGCCAUCUGGCCACAUCCUAUUCCACAACUGAGCCACAUCUUUGAGUUGGUACGAAGCCGACUCAGCCUUUUUCUCUCCAUUUACAUCAUAGCACAUAAAAUCUUAUGAACCUUAGCUACAAAUUUUUGAGGAUCCUCAUUGGUCUUGGACCCAUUUUAUAAUGGAGGAUUCAUUCUACUGAAGUCCCUCAGUCUGCUAGCCAUGGUGCUAGCAUGUGGGUUCUCCCUAUGAGCACCCUCAAUAGUGUCCUAGGCUGUGAUAGUCUUUGACGAAGUAGUGAUGGCUUGGUCAAUUUGAACUAGUUCUUCUCUUACUUAUCCAUCUGUCAACACAACUCGGUUGACAGACACUUGCAUCCAUUAGUAGGGGAUUGAGGCGGAGCUUGGUCGACUCCAAUAGCUGCUUCUUCGACUCUUCUGCAUGUGUUUCCCCUCAUGUUCAUUUUCUACACGUAUACACAAGAAGGAAGUAGUAAUUAGAAUGACAAAACAUGUCAAAGCUCUAUACAACACGAAAAAAAUAGAAGAAGGGAGGUUGCAUAUCAUCACUUAGUCUCUAAGUCAUGAUUGUGGUGCGAUUCACAACCAUAAGUUAGAAACUACAUAACAUGGUUGUUUUUACCUUUAGUUACUAGCUAAUUCAACGUCAUACUCUGAUACCAUGUUUCUCACACCCUAAUUCUUGAUUCUGGAUACAACCGUCGUCGUUAACCUCUUACAGGUGGCAGACAAACCUCUUCUUUGCUUUAAUAACAAUCAUAUAGUUAUAUUUGUGGAAAAUUUAAAACUUUUUAAACAUAGUGAAUUAUACAUAGGCUUCAUAAGAUUACUAUGUAUAAUCAUAUUCUAACGAGCUCUAACUUAAAAUCUUAAUAGUUUUCAUAACGGCCUUAGUACAAAGCUUUAAAUAAAAGUCUUAAAUGAAAGGCUAGGGAUAACAUCAACUAGCUAUGUCUAAAUUACUAAGCUAGAAUUAUAGGUGUAGCAUCCUCGUACUCAAGAGGACCUACCAAAGUAUGGAGAUCGCUAUUCCAAAUUACUUCAAUGAGUCUUCAAUAUGCUUUCAGACCCGCGCCAAUAAAAUAGUAAUAACAUAAGGUUAGUACACACCUGUAAUGAAUAUGGGUAUAUGCACAUAAGUUCUAUGCAUGAUCAAGGAAAACUCUUCCUAUAAAAACAGGCAAUUUCUUGAAAGUUAAGUAACUAGACUUUUCUUAUUCAUUAUUUGUGAAUUGUGGUAUGAAUAUGACAUAUUUUAAUGCAUUCAAAGAACACUAAUCAUUUUCUAUAUGAACAUAAGUGUUAUGCCUCGUAUUUUUUUUUAUACGUAGUGCGCAUCGUGAUCUAGAAGACGUAAAGAAAUAUUAGGCAAGGAUGUUAUUUCCAAAUGUGAUAUUAAGUAUGAGUUGGUUAAUAUAAGUGCCAUUAACUUUAAGUGAGGGAUUAAUUAGUGGCUAAUUUGGAUUGAUUUAAUCCAAUGGGCCCCACCACUCAAGGCAAAAAUUAAAAAGGGAUCAGAUUGUGGGCUGGCCUUAGUGGACAGGUGUAGAGGGGGGCUGCCUCCACUUCAUACUAUUAAAUGAGGUGGAGAAAUCCACUCCAUGCUAUAUAAAGUGGUGAAAUGCAUUGCUGCAUAUCAUCUUCUUCUUCACCACUUGUCUUAGGCAGCCAUGGAAAUGGAGAAACCAACCUUGCAACUCUUGGCCAGCAGCUGCAAAUAAUUUGGUUAGUAAUCUCCUUGUUUGGUGUGUUAAUUCUUUAGAAUACCCUUGUUAAUUAUCCAUUAAUUUUAAGAAGGGGGUGUGACCAGUAGCUUAGGAAGUUUGUUUUAGUUAUUGAAUGUGCUAAGUAUGAAUGGAAACCAUAAUCGGAUUAUUAGUGGUGUCAUGUUGGUGCUUGGGCUGUUUAUAUGAUUCUUUGGGUUAUAUGUGUUAUUGGUAUUGCUGUGGAUAAUUUGGAGUGUUGUCGGAUUGGGACGAAGUAAGGAAAAUAGGGGAGGUGCUGCCGAAUUUUCAUUAGAUUAUUAGCUAGCUUACAAGAAAGUAAAGCACGAUGUUUAUCUAAUUGCGGCAUGAUUGUUGCUUGUUAUAGAUUAAUAGCUUGAGCAGUAAAUAUUGGACGUGCGGCUAAAUUAUACGGUAUGUAACGUUGUCCCUUCUUUCUUUGCUUGGCAUGACUUUUAAAAAUAAGCGAAUAACGGACAGAUUUGAUACUUACCUCUAAAGCGUCUAGGUGAUGUAUAUUCUUGCUUCCACAAUUAUUCCUCUAUAUAUCGGUUAUGUCUAAGGCUAUGAUGAUCUCUAAUAUCUAUGGUAAUGCUUCUUAGAGUCAUUGAAAUUUUACGUUUUCAUAUCGUAUUAAAGGUUCAUAAUCUUGAUAAAACAUUAAUCUUUGGUAAUACUCCUUGCUGGUUCACGUUGAUUGUUCUAUUGAGUUAUAAGAAAUGAUUUUAAUUGCAUAUGGUUGCUCAUAAUAUUCUGCUCAUGCAUAGAGUCAUUUAUCAUUUCACCGAGUCUCGGGCCGGGUAAUGUUCGUGCGGAGUUUCUUGCAUAUGUCACCGAGUCCCUCACUAGAGGGCCGGGUAUGUAUAUUAUAUAUAUGAUUGGUGAUGAGGAUGGUUAUGAUGAUGAUGAUGACGGAGAUGACGUGAUGAUUAUUUUGCCGAGCCCCUUACUAGGGAAGCUGGGCACCUUAAAUGUUAAAUAUAUGCAUGAUUUUCACUUAAAAAGUAUAUGUGUAGCGAUAUUUUGUUUCGACUUGCCACAUUGGUAUCCUGUCAUCUUUACCUUAUGCUUUACAUACUCAGUACAUUGUCCGUACUGACCCCCCUUUCCUCGGGGGCUGCGUUUCAUGCCCGCAGGUGUAGACGCGCAGUUCGGUGAUCCUCCCGCCUAGGAUAUCUACUCUGCUGAUUGGGAGAGCUCCAAUGUUCCGGAGCCCAGUCGUUUUGGUACAUAACUUUUGUGUAGUCUUUUGCUCGUCUAGGGUAUGGCGGGGCCCUGUCCCGUCGAGUUUCACUAAUGUACUCUUAGAGGUCUGUGGACAUUAUGUGGGUUGUAUAUAUAUGUUUUGGAUAAUGGUCUGGACAUGGUUUGUUUGGGAUGUCCGCUUGUACAGGGGCAGCCUUGUCGGCUGCGUACAUCAUUAUGCUUUGAAUAGUGGCGGCCUUGUCGGCUCGCGUAUGCUGUUAUGGUUGAAUGGUUAUGACUCCUUAUGAGACAUGUCCUCUUAUAUAUAUAUAUGACGUUGGGGUUGGCUUGAUUUGAUUAAAUUCCAUAUUGUCUUAGUUUCAGUUGGUCAUACUUAGCAGGUUUGUAUGUGGGUGUCCAAAACGGGCACUAAUCACAGCCUAUCGGGUUGGGUCGUGACAAAGAGUGGUAUCAGAGCGGUUCUUCCUCGAAAGUGCCUACAGACCGUGUCUAGUAGAGUCUUGUUUAUCGGUGUGUUGUGCACCACAUCUAUAAACAGGAAGCUACAGGACAUUUAGGAUGUCAUUCUUUCUUCUUAUUCUAGAUCGUGCGAUAGAGCUAUAUUAACAGGAUAAUCCCUCUCUAACGAAUACAUGUGUUUUCAGCUAUGCCUCCAAAGAAAGCGGCAACCGCCCAGAAGGGAAAAUCGGUAGUAGAAGGUACUAGUCAGACCCGAAGAGUUACUAGGGCCCGUGCCCAGUCUAUGCCUAGUAUUAUGCUCCAGUCGGAGAGCUCUGCUACACCCCCACCGCCAGAAGAGCUUAGAGCAGCAGCAGCUCCAGUUCGGGGGACACCACCAGCCCCCGAGGCCCCAACAUCUGAACCUCCAGCUCCUCAGUCAGGGACGGAGGAUAGGGCCAUGAGAGAUGCGGUUCGAUUGCUGAUUAGAUUAGUGGCAGAUCAGGCUCGCAGGCAUGGACUAGGAGUUGAUCAUGCGGACAGAUCUGAUAGCUUAAGGGCUCGUGACUUCUUAAGUUGUAAUCCUCCAGAGUUCUUUGGGUCAAGGCCACAGGAUGAUCCGCAAGAGUUUAUUCGUCAGAUGCAGCGUACAUUGAGGAUAAUCAAGGCUUCGGAGACCGAGUCUGUUGAGUUGGCUACGUAUCGUUUGCGGGAUGUAGCUAUUAAUUGGUAUGAGUCUUGGGAGUUAUCUAGGGGUGAGGGUGCCCCUCCAGCGGUAUGGGAUGAAUUUGUGGAGGCUUUCCAGGGCCACUUCCUGCCUCCAGAGAUGAAGCGAGCUAGAGUCGAUAAAUUCUUGCGUUUGAAGCAAAAUGCAGGAGCGUUCGAGAGUAUAGCCUCGAGUUUGAUUCAUUGGCUAGGCAUGCGCCUACUAUUGUGGCUGAUAUGGCAGACAGGGUACAUCGUUAUGUGAUGGGAUUGGAUCGUUAUCUGAUUGACGGUUGUAUGGCAGUGACUCUUCAGCCAGGUAUGGACAUUGCUCGGGUGCAGGCAUAUGCACAGGGGGUAGAGGAUCGGCACCGAGGACGUCAGCCAGAUAGAGAUUAUAAUAGAGGCCAGCAUAAGAGGGCUAGAUCAGCAGGUUAUCCUGACGAGUUUCAAAGCGGGCAGUCUCAGCAGCAUGUUAGAUUUUCUUCCCAGCCAGCACAGAGUGCACCCCCACGUUUCAUGGGUAGGGGGUUCGAUCGUAUGGGAUAUUCGGAACCUGGUCAGAGCUCUAGGGCGUCAGGGUCACAGAUGGGCAGGGGUUUGAGCCAGUCGAGGCCACCUUUGCCUCGGUGUUCUCGUUGUGGUAAGUCCCAUCCUGGGGAAUGUCGUUGGGCUACAGGUGCGUGUUUUUCUUGCGGCCGUCAGGGCCAUACUAUGAGGGAGUGUCACCUUAGAGGUAGUGCAGGUGGUAUGGCACAGCCUAGAGGGUCCGUUACUGGUUCAUCUUCUUCUGUGGCUAUGCGCCCUACGGGGCAGGGUAUUCAGGCACCAGCAGGCCGUGGUAGAGGACGUGGUGGAGCUUCUAGUUCUAGCGGUCCCUCAAACCGUAUAUAUGCUUUGACUAAUAGGCAAGAUCAAGAGGCGUCACCUAAUGUGAUCACAGGUAUAUUAUCACUAUUCUCCCGAAGUGUGUAUGCAUUGAUAGACCCAGGUUCCACCUUAUCAUAUAUAUCUCCCUUUGUUGCUAGUAGGAUCGGAAUAGAGUCUGAGUUGAUAGAACCAUUUGAGGUAGCUACACCUGUAGGAGAUUUUGUCAUAGCUACGCGAGUAUAUAGGAAUUGUUCAGUAGCUAUAUAUAGUCGUCAUACCGUAGCAGAUCUAAUAGAGUUAAAUAUGAUUGAGUUUGAUAUUAUCAUGGGCAUGGAUUGGUUGGCUGCUUGUUAUGCUAAUGUUGAUUGCAGAGAAAAGAUAGUUCGAUUUCAAUUUCCAGGGGAACCGAUUAUAGAGUGGAAGGGAAGUACAGUAUCGCCGAAAAGUAAGUUCAUUUCAUACCUCAAGGCCGGGAAGAUGGUUAGAAAAGGCUAUAUUUACCAUCUGAUUCGGGUGUAUGACAUAAAGGCAGAGGCACCGACUCUUCAAUUAGUCCCGGUAGUUAAUGAAUUUCCUGAUGUAUUCCCCGAGGAACUUCCAGGCCUUCCUCCAGAACGGGAGAUAGAGUUUACUAUAGAUGUACUGCCAGAUACCCAGCCUAUAUCUAUACCUCCUUAUAGAAUGGCACCUGCUGAGUUGAAAGAAUUGAAAGAGCAAUUGAGGGAUUUGCUAGAAAAGGGCUUCAUCAGGCCUAGUACGUCACCUUGAGGAGCACCAGUACUGUUUGUGAGGAAGAAGGAUGGGUCGCUGCGGAUGUGCAUUGAUUAUAGGCAGUUGAACAAAGUAACAAUAAAGAACAGGUAUCCCCUCCCAAGGAUUGACGAUCUAUUUGACCAGUUGCAGGGUGCAAAGUGUUUUUCAAAGAUAGACUUGCGGUCAGGUUAUCAUCAGGUGCGGGUAAGGGAGGAAGAUAUUCCAAAGACAGCAUUCCGAACCCGAUAUGGACAUUAUGAUUUUAGAGUGCUGUCUUUUGGGCUGACUAAUGCUCCAGCGGUAUUCAUGGAUUUAAUGAAUCGAGUAUUUAAACCAUUCCUUGAUAUGUUUGUUAUUGUAUUUAUAGACGAUAUUCUGGUCUAUUCACGUUCAGAAGAGGAGCAUGCAGAUCAUUUAAGGACGGUACUUAGGGUGCUUCAGCACCAGAAGUUGUAUGCUAAAUUUUCUAAGUGCGAGUUCUGGUUGACUUCAGUGGCAUUCUUGGGGCAUAUUAUUGGAGCUGAUGGUAUUCGGGUAGAUACGCAGAAGAUUGAGGCAGUAAAGACUUGGCCCAGACCUACGACACCUACUGAGGUACGCAGCUUUUUGGGGUUAGCAGGAUAUUACAGGAGAUUCGUAGAAAAGUUUGCCUCAAUUUCAGUGCCUUUGACAAGGCUAACUCAAAAGGCAGCCAAGUUCCAGUGGACAGAUGCUUGUGAGCGAAGCUUCCAGCUAUUGAAAGACAAAUUGACUACAGCUCCAGUCCUAACUCUUCCAGAGGGACCAGACGGCUAUGUUAUUUAUUGUGAUGCUUCGGGUGUUGGGCUAGGAUGUGUAUUGAUGCAGCAUGGCAAAGUUAUAGCCUAUGCCUCCCGACAACUUAGGAAGCAUGAAAAGAACUAUCCUACUCACGAUCUGGAGUUAGCGGUCGUGGUUCAUGCCUUGAAGAUAUGGAGACAUUAUUUAUAUGGUGUCCAUGUGGACAUCUAUACAGAUCAUAAGAGUCUCCAAUAUAUCUUUAAACAGAAGGAGCUGAACUUACGACAGAGGCGGUGGUUAGAGUUGCUAAAGGAUUAUGAUGUUGAUAUUUUAUAUCAUCCAGGGAAAGCGAAUGUUGUAGCAGAUGCUCUUAGCCGUAAGUCCAUGGGUAGCUUGACAGAUGUACAACCAGAAAGGAGGGAUAUGGUUCGGGAGAUUCAGCGGCUAUCCAGCCUUGGAGUCCGUCUAGCUAAUUCGGAAGAUAGUGGAGUUUCUAUUCGAGAGGUUGCUGAGUCCUCAAUCAUAGAUGAGGUAAAGCGACACCAAUACAAGGACCCUAUUCUGGAACAGUAUAGAGAUGCAGCUCUUCAAAAGGAAAAGACCCCAUUUAAGGUUACACCUGAUGGAGUGUUACAAUAUGAAGGCAGAUUGUGUGUACCCGAUACUGCGGGGCUACGACGGCAAGUUAUGGGAGAGGCACACUCUGCCCGUUAUUCUAUUCACCCAGGGUCAACAAAAAUGUAUCAUGACCUCAGAUGCUUAUAUUGGUGGGAUGGCAUGAAAAAGGACAUAGCAGAGUUUGUUGCUCAGUGCCCAAAUUGUCAACAAGUUAAGAUCGAACAUCAAAAGCCUGGUGGAUUAUUACAGGAGAUAGAGAUCCCGACUUGGAAAUGGGAAAUGAUUAAUAUGGACUUCAUUACAGGCUUACCUCGCACUCAACGGAAGUAUGACUCUAUAUGAGUUAUUGUAGAUAGGCUGACGAAAUCGGCCCAUUUUCUUCCAGUCAGGACUACUUAUUCGGCUGAAGAUUAUGCGAGGUUAUAUGUCAGGGAGAUAGUGAGACUUCAUGGGGUUCCCACGUCCAUUAUAUCAGACAGAGGAGCUCAAUUUACAGCCAACUUUUGGAGAUCGUUUCAGAAGGGAUUGGGGACACAGGUGAACCUUAGCACAGCAUUUCACCCUCAGACUGAUGGGCAGGCUGAGCGUACUAUUCAGACACUAGAAGAUAUGUUGCGGGCCUGUAUUAUUGACUUCAAAGGAAGCUGGGAUGACCACUUGCCGCUCAUUGAGUUUGCCUAUAAUAAUAGCUACCAUUCUAGUAUCCAGAUGGCACCGUACGAGGCCUUAUAUGGGAGGAAGUGCAGAUCACCUAUUGGUGGUUUGAUGUUGGCGAGACUAAGUUAAUAGGCCCGGAUGUGAUUCAGCAAGCUGUUGACAAGGUGAAGCUUAUUCAAGAAAGAUUAUUAGCAGCCCAGAGUCGACAGAAGUCAUAUGAAGAUAAUCGGCGUCGAGAUUUGGAGUUUCAGAUUGGUGACUGGGUAUUCCUGAAGGUAUCACCCAUGAGGGGUGUGAUGAGAUUCGGCAGGAAGGGGAAGCUCAGUCCGAGAUACAUUGGGCCUUAUCAGAUUGUUCGUAGGAUAGGCAAGGUUUCCUAUGAGUUGGAUCUACCAUCUGAUUUGGAGGCGGUACAUCCAGUCUUCCAUGUAUCGAUGCUACGUAAAUGUAUUGGUGAUCCUUCUAGAGUAUUCCCUGUAGAUGAUAUUCAGGUAACAGAGGAGUUGUCAUAUGAGGAGAAACCCGUGGCUAUACUUGAUCGUCAGGUUAGAAGGUUACGUACUAAGGAUGUGGCUUCCGUCAAAGUGUUGUGGCAAAAUAACAAUAGGGAGGAGAUGACUUGGGAAGCGGAAGACGAAAUGAAAAAUAAGUAUCCUUACUUGUUCCCCGUACCUGCAGGUAAUUCAAUUCCUAGCUUGACUAUAUUGAUAGAUAAUGAGAUUAUGUAGCUGUGAGGCAUCUGUAAGUUACGGAAUGCAGGUUGAUAGGUAUAACUUUUAGAGAGACCUCGCUGGAAUUUGUUUUUGCAAGACGCUAACUUAACAUUCGAGGACGAAUGUUCCUAAGGGGGGAAGGAUGUUAUGCCUCGUAUUUUUUUAUACGUAGUGCGCAUCGUGAUCUAGAAGACGUAAAGAAAUAUUAGGCAAGGAUGUUAUUUCCAAAUGUGAUAUUAAGUAUGAGUUGGUUAAUGUAAGUGCCAUUAACUUUAAGUGAGGGAUUAAUUAGUGGCUAAUUUGGAUUGAUUUAAUCCAAUGGGCCCCACCACUCAAGGCAAAAAUUAAAAAGGGAUCAGAUUGUGGGCUGGCCUUAGUGGACAGGUGUAGAGGGGGGCUGCCUCCACUUCAUACUAUUAAAUGAGGUGGAGAAAUCCACUCCAUGCUAUAUAAAGUGGUGAAAUGCAUUGCUGCAUAUCAUCUUCUUCUUCACCACUUGUCUUAGGCAGCCAUGGAAAUGGAGAAACCAACCCUGCAACUCUUGGCCAGCAGCUGCAAAUAAUUUGGUUAGUAAUCUCCUUGUUUGGUGUGUUAAUUCUUUAGAAUACCCUUGUUAAUUAUCCAUUAAUUUUAAGAAGGGGGCGUGACCAGUAGCUUAGGAAGUUUGUUUUAGUUAUUGAAUGUGCUAAGUAUGAAUGGAAACCAUAAUCGGAUUAUUAGUGGUGUCAUGUUGGUGCUUGGGCUGUUUAUAUGAUUCUUUGGGUUAUAUGUGUUAUUGGUAUUGCUGUGGAUAAUUUGGAUUGUUGUCAGAUUGGGACGAAGUAAGGAAAAUAGGGGAGGUGCUGCCGAAUUUUCGUUAGAUUAUUAGCUAGCUUACAAGAAAGUAAAGCACGAUGUUUAUCUAAUUGCGGCACGAUUGUUGCUUGUUAUAGAUUAAUAGCUUGAGCAGUAAAUAUUGGACGUGCGGCUCAAUUAUACGGUAUGUAACGCUGUCCCUUCUUUCUUUGCUUGGCAUGACUUUUAAAAAUAAGCGAAUAACGGACAGAUUUGAUACUUACCUCUAAAGCGUCUAGGUGAUGUAUAUUCUUGCUUCCAUAAUUAUUCCUCUAUAUAUCGGUUAUGUCUAAGGCUAUGAUGAUCUCUAAUAUCUAUGGUAAUGCUUCUUAGAGUCAUUGAAAUUUUACGUUUUCAUAUCGUAUUAAAGGUUCAUAAUCUUGAUAAAACAUUAAUCUUUGGUAAUACUCCUUGCUGGUUCACGUUGAUUGUUCUAUUGAGUUAUAAGAAAUGAUUUUAAUUGCAUAUGGUUGCUCAUAAUAUUCUGCUCGUGCAUAGAGUCAUUUAUCAUUUCACCGAGUCCCGGGCCGGGUAAUGUUCGUGCGGAGUUUCUUGCAUAUGUCACCGAGUCCCUCACUAGAGGGCCGGGUAUGUAUAUUAUAUAUAUGAUUGGUGAUGAGGAUGGUUAUGAUGAUGAUGAUGACGGAGAUGACGUGAUGAUUAUUU
This 54173-nucleotide long non-coding RNA is filed under the name Solanum lycopersicum (tomato). RNAcentral's name for it is "long non-coding RNA (SLYC_LNC000291)". The stretch from base 5503 to 5574 matches the Rfam family "tRNA". Lineage: Eukaryota; Viridiplantae; Streptophyta; Magnoliopsida; Solanales; Solanaceae. The record is from RNAcentral.